CUCAACAAAAGAAAAAAGAAAGCUUCCAAUCUCAUUUUAUCUCCAUUACUUUCUACACCAAAAUUGGGUCCCACAACCCGGUUCUUUGUCUAGAGGAUAGCAGUUGAGUACUAGUGGUGGUCUCGGUUAGAAUUGGUAAGAAGAUAUCAAACCUUUUGAAAGCUUCAAAGGUAAUAUUUCUUAAAACCCUAAUUUGAUUAGUUUAUGGUUACAUGUUAAUUGUGGCAAUUAGGGUAGAAAUUCGAUUCUUUUUCCGCUGUGCAUGACUUAGUUCUAUCAUGUGGUAUCAGAGCAUGCUUCAUUUUUACCCAAUUGCAUGUGGUGGGUUCAUAUUUAUUAGAUAAAUUUUGGUUUGAACUAAAAUGGAUAUAUUAUGAUUUUGGCUCUAGAUUAAGUGUUUUUGUUCUAAUUAUUGUAAUUAGCCUUGUUAAUGGCUUAUUUUUAUUGUUGCAAAGUGUUUGUAAUUUUUAAAAAAAGAAAAAAAGUCAUUAGAGUUGAAGUUAGGCUGUAACUGGUUCAACCGGGUGAGAGAAUUGAAAAAAAAUGAAGAAAAGAAGGUCACAGACCCGAAAACCCGCCUUGACCCGCUUCGCGACCCGCACGCGCCCGCGCGCCCGCAUGCCCGCACGCCCUCCUGCGCCCGCGCGCCCGCCUGUGUCCGCAUGCGUCUGCGCGCCCGCGUGCCUGCCUUCGCCCGACCCGUGUGCGCCUGGGCCGGUUCAAGCGGUUUCGGUUGGUUUUUCAGCCGGUUCAAAGUUUUUGGGAGUGGUUCUGUACUACACCAAAGUAAUUAUGUAAUAAUUUAGUACUUAGCUUAAUUUAGGAGCCAAAAAUCAGUCCAUUUUAGGGUGUUUUUUUUUAUUUAUGCAUGUGAUGUAUGAUUAAAUUACUUUAAAUUUGUAUGUGCAUUUUGAAUGUCAUAUAGAUUUAAAAUCCCACCAUAGGUUAACAUGUUCAUGCAUUAAAAUGUAUGAUAUAAAGGUUAUAUUGUAUUGUAUGCAUGUUAAUUGAUUAAUAUGGAAAUUAAAAUCCCACCAUAGGUGUUUGCUUUUCAUUCUAGGUCAUAAAGCUUGGGUGUGACGUUUCGGCAUUUUCAUAUGCAAGCCUGCCAGAGCUGAAAAUGUUCAAAAUGUAUUAUAGGGGAGGCAUACCAGUUGAAUCCCCGCUCGAGCAUUAGUUGUACUCUUUGCAAGCAACCCUUUUCGUGGCACGCGUGCGGGGCCUGUGAGCUGUCCUCGAGAGGUGCCUGCCAAUGUUGUGGGCAUAUGUCCUGGUCACCCUUGGGCUGUCUCGGGACCACGUUGGGCUACUCCUGGGCCAUGCUAAAGGAGUCGUGGCACGUAUUGGCGCAAUUUUGCGGGUGAUUUUUGGGGUCAAAGCUUCACAUGUGACAUCAGGCUUACUUCUUUUCAUUUCUUUCUUUUUUCUUCUUCUUUCUUUUUCCCGUUUUAAAUUUUAUCUCUAAACCAAACUCCAACUAACUCUAAUUUAUGUUUAGGAACUUGUAAUUUUGGAGUACAAUAUAAGUAUAAUUGUUUGUGUUAUAUUGUUUUUUUUUUAUUAUUAUUACUAUUAAAAAUAGCCAAAUUAAUUAAAAUAUUUAUAAAGUAUUUUAAAAUUUGAUAUUCGAUAGAUCGAUCAAUGUCACUAAACAUAUAAGGGCUUAUCAAUAUCUAUUAUUAAUAUAAUCUAGUAAAUAUUUUGUCGAAUUUAUUAUUUGUGACAGUUUUUUUCUAUUCUUUUUUACAUAUAUUCAAUAUAUAAAAUAUCAAUUUUUUGAAAAUUUCAUAUAGGAUUAUUAACAAGUUUAACAAAUAGAUAAAAUGAUUUUCAACAUUAUUCUAAUACUAUGCUUUAAAUUAUGUAAGAGAUAAAUCUCUAUAAAUCAUAGAUGAAUUAUUUUAGAAUGGAAAACAAUACAAAAAUGUGAGUGUUGAGCAAGAAAUUUUGACCAAUUAAAUUACGUCACAUCAUCACAGUAAAUAAUGAUGAUUAUACUUUUGUUUGAGUUUGGAUAAUUAAGUUACUCAACCCAACCCAAUUCAGAUCCAACAAAACAAAUGGGCUCAAGCCCAAGUCCAAGAAUCAAAUGGGCCCAAGUCCAAACUCAUCUCGCAAAUGGGCUCAAAUCCAAGCCCAAUAAGCAAAUGACCCCAAUUUCACCUAAAGCCCAUGAAAUGUCUAUAAAUAGAGACCACUGUCAUUCAUUUUAAAAGGGGUCUUUGGUUGAAAGAAGAAUUGAAGCUCUGAAGAAUUGAAGAUUCAAACUUCUACAAGCUCUCAAGACGUGCAAGUUUGUAUCAACUUCGAGAUCAACAACUUCUGAAAGAUUGAAGACUUGGAAAAUUAAACUUUUCUUGGAUUCCAGAAGAUCGAAGUUCAAAUCAACGUGCAACUACAACAUCCUGAAGAUCGAAAAUAAAAAAGUUCUAAGUUUUAACUUGUAUUCGAGAAAAAACAUCAAAAGAGUAAAUACUAGAGGUUGUAUUCACAAUAUUCUUUAAUAUAUAAAGUUCAACUCCACGAAAUACAUUUCUUCAAAAUCUCGUGUGAACAGUUUGACACGUCCAGUGAGACAAUCUCUACCUUUCAUCUCUUUCUCUUUUGAAGAACAUCUAAAGAAAUCAUGUCGAUUGACGAACAAAUGACAUCGGCAAGCAGCCAAAUACUCACAGCCGCUCAAGGGAGACUCAAUCAUCUGAGGAAAUGCCAUCCUUUGAGGCCGCAAAGAACAUUUGGGAGCAACUGUCCAAGCCACCAAAAGGUGGAAUUAUAGUCGAAGAAAAUCCUGUGAUUGACGAACAAAUUUCCUCCUGUGAACGCUCGAAUGAGAAGAUGCCUCAUCCAAAUAUCAUGUCGAUUAUGGUGACUGACGUGGAUACAAGUGAAGACAUAAUGACUGAGCUUAAAAAGAAGAUCAACAGGCUCAUGAAGGUCGUUGAAGAAAAGGAUAAUGAGAUUGCAUCUCUCAAGAAUCACAUCGAACGUCAUGAUGCUGAAUCAAGUCAUACACAUACUAUCAAAAAUACUGACAAAAGGAAGACAAUUAUGCAAGAAAGUCAACCACAAAAUUCAACCUCAAUUGCAUCAAUAUCUAUUCAGCAAUUGCAGGAGAUGAUUGCAAACUCCAUCAAAACUCAAUAUGAUGGACUUGCUCAAACUCUCUCUCUAUAUUCCAAACCAUAUACGAAGAGGAUCGACAAUCUCAUAAUGCCGAAUGGAUACCAACCACCCAAGUUCCAACAGUUUGAUGGAAAGGGUAACCCAAGACAACACGUUGCUCACUUCAUUGAAACAUGUGAAACUCCUAGUACGAGAGGAGAUUUGUUGAUAAAGCAGUUCGUUCGAACUCUGAAAGGAAACGCCUUCAAAUGGUACAUCGACCUGGAACAUGAAUCCAUUGAUAGUUGGGAGUAACUUGAGGGGGACUUUCUCAAUCGCUUUUACAGCACCCAGCGUAUCGUCAGCAUGAUGGAGUUGACAAAUAGCAAAUAGCGAAAGAGGGAGCCAGUCAUCAACUACAUAAACCGAUGGAGAGCUCUAAGCCUGGAUUGCAAAGACAAGCUCAUAGAAAUGUCUGUAGUCGAGAUGUGCACCCAAGGCAUGCAUUGGGAACUUCUCUAUAUUUUGCAGGGGAUAAAACCACGCACGUUUGAAGAGUUGGCGACUCGUGCCCAUGAUAUGGAACUAAGUAUCACUCGUAGAGGAGCAAAAGAUUUUUUGGUUCAAAAAAUGAGGAGUGACAAGAAUUAAAUUGAUGACACUAAAAAGAUUACAGAUAGUGUCAUAAAUGAGUCUAUGGUUGUUCAUGCAACCCCUUUGAAAUCUUUCUCUAAAAGAAAAGAAACAAAAUUUGAAGGAAAGCAUGAUAGAGAGGAAAAGCGACGCCCUUAAAGAAAGACAAGAAAAUUUUUAUCCAUUUCCUGACUCUGAUGUUGCAGACAUGUUAGAGCAGCUGUUAGAGAAGCAACUUAUUCAACUGCCAGAAUGCAAACGACCGAAACAAGCAGAGAAAGUAGAUGAUCCUAACUACUGCAAGUACCAUCGGGUCAUUAGUCAUCCUGUUGGAAAGUGUUUCGUGUUGAAGGAGCUGAUUAUAAAGUUGGCUCGUGAAAAGAAGAUCGAGUUAGAUAUGGAUGAAGUAGCUCAGACAAAUCAUGUUGCAAUUGAGAUGACUUCAAGUGUUCCGCCAUCAACACACCUUUAUGAUUAAUGGAAAAACUUGGUCCAGUUUGGGACUUUUGAACCUGUACAUGUUCGAUUCCAACAAAGGAUCGUGACAAAGAAAUCUCAAAACAAAGAAAAGCCUAUUGAAGAUGAUUGCGAAGGAUGGAUAGUCAUGACUCGUAAAAAGGGGAGACAAUCAAUUUUCGUACAAACGAAGUCGCACUUCCAUCAGAAGCAUGGAAAAGGAAGCAACUCUCGUAAAAAUGAGAAAAGAAAUAAGAUGUGGAAGUCUAAGCCUAUCAAAGGAAAAGACGAGGACUUCAUCCGACAUCGACGGUCGAUAACUUUGAAAGAAUUUCUCCCAAGAAGCUUCCUUGAUGAUCAUCCAAAGAAAGUAUUAGAAGUCCUUGCAUGUCAUGUUGUCAGUAUAACAGAAGUCGACAACAAUUAUGCAUCUUCUGAAGAAAUCGACAAUUCAAAUGAAAUUAAGCAAAGGACUUUUGUCUUUGAUCGUAUCAAGCCUUCAAUUACUCAAUCUUCAAUUUUUCAAAGAUUGAGUAUGACCAUGAAAGAAGAAGAAAACCAAUGUUUAACAUCUACUUCCACUCAAACUUUAGCUUUCAAAAGGCUAAGUAUCUCCACAUCAAAGAAAUAUCAACCUUCAACAUCUGUUUUUGAUAGACUAAAAUGACAAGUGAUCAACAUGAAAAAGAGAUGAAAACUUUGAAGGUAAAAUCACUUCAUGAAGAAAAUAAUGGCGAAGAUACGCAGUUGUGUCUCAUCACGCAUGAAGAGGAAGUUAUUUGUUGACAUAAACACAGAAGGUCCCUUGAUCGUGAAGCCAAAAAUUAUUAUAUUCACCAAUUCUACAAAUGAAGAAGGUGAACAAAUUUUUUACGAAAAUAUUUGUUAAAUGUGUAAAGCUCCUUAUCGCAAAAGCCUAAAUUGCAUGAUGCUCUUAGUCCACAAGAGCUUAAAAGGUGAAUAACAAAAAAAAAAAAAAAAAAACAACAACUCAAUUGAACUACGUUAUGACUUGAUCUCUGUGUUAUAAAAAGGAUACGUAGGCAGCUUAAAGAUUACUUUAAGUUCAGUCGCACGAAAAAAAAAAAUUAUGCUUCAUCGUGAUGAUGUAAUCUCAAUAGAAAAUGAAAUUCAUGAACAGUUACAACAGAAAAGAAAUGGGACAAAUGGGGCAAAGUCAAAGUAGCGAGCUCUACCUUUUCUCGCAAGUGUUGCAGCUGAAAAGAUAUUCAUCUUCAUCUUCUCUCAAGUGUUGCAGCUGAAAGGAUCUUUAUCUUCACCUUCUCCAUGUGUUGCAGCCGAGAGGAUUCAUCUUCACCUUCUCCAUGUGUUGCAGUCGGAAGGAUUUAUCUUCAUCUUCUCCAUGUGUUGCAGCCGAGAGGAUUCAUCUUCAUCUUUUCCAUGUGUUGCAGCCGAGAGGAUUCCUCUUCUCCCACGUAUUACAGCCGAGAGGAUUCAUUUUCAUCUUCUCCCACGUGUUAUAGUCAAAAGGAUUCAUCUUCAUCUUCAUCUUCUCCCACGUGCUGUAGCCAAAAGGAUUCAUCAUCAUCUUCUUCCACGUGUUGCAGACGAGAAGAUCAUCAUUUUCAUCUCCUAGGUGUUGCAGUCGUUAUCAUCUGCAUCCUCGAUGUGUUGCAACCGUCAUCAUCUACAUCUCUGAUGUGUCACUGCCGACAUCAUCUGCAUCUUCGAUAUGUCGCUGUUGUCACCAUCUGCAUCUUCGACGUGUCGCAACCAUUACCAUCUGCAUCUUCGACGUGUCGCAGUCGUCAGAAUCUCCAUCUGCAUGUGUUGCAGUCAUCAUCAUCUGCAUCUCUGAUGUGUUGCAACCGUCAUCAUCUGCAUCUUCAAUGUGUUGCAGGCGUCAUCAUCUGUAUCUUCGAUGUGGCUGUCACCAUCAGAAUCUUCGACGUGUCGCAGCCGUUAGAAUCUUCAUCUCCAUGUAUUGCAGUCAUCACCAUCUGCAUCUUUGAUGUGUUGCAGUUGUCAUCAUCUGCAUCUUCGAUGUGGCCGUCAUUAUCUUCGAUGUGUCGCAGCCGUCACCAUCUACAUUUUCGAUGUGUCGCAGCCAUCAGAAUCUCCAUCUCCAUGUGUUACAGUCAUCAUCAUCUGCAUCUCUGAUGUGUCGCAGCCAUCAUCAUCUGCAUCUUCGAUGCGGUCGUCAUCAUCUUUGAUGUGCCGCAGUCGUCACCAUCUGCAUCUUCGACGUGUCGCAGUCAUCAAAAUCUCCAUCUCCAUCUUCGAUGUACGAAUUUUCAUCUCCAUCUUCGUCUUCCAUGUGCUCCAGUUGGUCGAAUCUCCAUCUCCAUUUUCGUCUUCGAUGUGUCGCAGUCAAUUGGAUCUCCAUCUUCGAUGUGUUGCAGCCGAUCGGAUCUCCAUCUCCAUCUUCGAUAUGUGGAUCUUCAUCUCCAUCUCGGUCUUUCAUGUGCUGCCGUCGGUCGAAUCUCCAUCUCCAUUUCUGUCUUUGAUGUGCCGCAGUCGAUUGGAUCUAUAUUUACAUUUUUGUCUUCGGUGUGUUGCAGUCGAUCAGAUCUCCAUCUCCAUUUUCGUCUUCGAUGUGUCGCAGCCGAUCGGAUCUCCAUCUCUAUUUUCGUCUUCGAUGUGUUACAGCCGAUCGGAUCUCCAUCUCCAUUUUUGUCUUCGAUCAAGCUUGGUGUGCUCCACCAUAUAAAUUGACCAAACUUCGUAUAACAUUUUAAUCACACUUAUGUCCAAAUGCAUAGUAUGAUUAAAUUGACAUAUUAACUAGAACCAAAUCCAAGAACAAAUUCACUUAUUUCAGCUUAUCGUUUUCAAGAUUCACCCAUCAUAUAAACGUGCACAAAUCUCUAAAAGGAGACAUUUGUUGAGCAAGAAAUUUUGACCAAUUAAAUUACGCCACAUCAUCACAAUAAAUAUGAUGAUGAUUAUACUUUUGUUUGAGUUUGGAUAAUUAAGUUUACUCAACCCAACUCAAUUCAUAUCCAACAGAAAAAAUGGGCUCAAGCCCAAGUCGAAUAAGCAGAUGGGCCCAAGUUCAAACUCAACUCACAAAUGGGCUCAAGUCCAAGCCCAACAAUCAAAUGGGCCCAAGUCCAAGUCUAGCAAGCAAAUGAGCCCAAGUUCACCUAAAGCCCAUGAAAUUUCUCUAUAAAUAGAGACCAUUGCCAUUCAUUUUAAAAGGGGUCUUUGGUUGAAUAAAGAAUUGAACCUCUGAAGUACUGAAGAAUUGAAGAUUCAAACUUCUACAAGCUCUCAAGACGUCAAAGUUCAUAUCAACCUGGAGAUCAACAACUUCUGAAAGUUGGAAGAUUAAACUUUCCUUGGGUUCCAUAAGAUCGAAGUUCAAAUCAACUUGCAACUACAAUAUCCUAAAGAUCGAAGAUCAAAAAGUUAUAAGUUUUAACUUGUAUUCGAGAGAAAGCAUCAAAUGAGUAAAUACUAGAGGUUGUAUGCACAAUAUUCAUCAAUAUAUAAAGUUCAAUUCCACGAAAUACAUUUAUUCGAAAUCUCGUGUGAACAGUGAGAAUAUGGUUAACCAAGUUUAAAUAUAUAAUGCAACAAUACAAACGUAGUGACCAUAAUCACAAAAUUUAAACCGAACUCAAACAACACAUGAACAUAAAAUAAAAAGCAACAUACCAACAUUGUUUACUAUCGAAUAAUAGUCCAAAUCAAGUCAUGGAUUGGUCAAACAUUAUCUUUAGGAGAAUAUUACAAAGAAAAAAAAGUAUGAAAAAGUGCAUUUUAUAAAAUAUUAUUAUAACUAAACUAAAAGUAUUUUCUUGAAUAACCUAAAAAAUCUCAUUUUUGUUUAACAUUUUUUCUAAAAACUUCUUAAAAUAAAAACACAAUCGUGUUUUAAAAUAUAUAUUUUAAAAAAUAUUUAUACGUACAAAUUUCUUUUGUUUGUUAUAUAUACUAAAAAAUAUUUUUAUAAAAAAUCUUCAAGACUAAUCGAUGACAACGGUCGUCGAAGUUGAUUAUCGGAAGUUCGUCGAUGGAGUCACUAGAGAUGAUGGUGGGAGAUUGGCCGACCAUGAUCAUUGAAGAUUAGCCUAAACCCAAAAGAUAAAUAAUUUUUUUGUAAUAAAAGUAAACUAACAUUUGACUGAACAAUUUUCUCUAUUCCUUUUGACUUCUUUUGGAUUUUUUUUCUUUUUCAAAAUAAGAAUGGUCACUUUGAUUCUCAAUUUUGUCGGAUUAUAAUAAUUUAUACUCAAACACAUAAUAUAAUAACUCGUACUAUAAUAAUUUACACAUAAACACAAAUUAUAAUAACUAAUAUUAUAAUAUUAUGUACCCUAAACACGACUAUAACAACUUAAACUAUAAUACUAUGCACCAAACUUCUCCUAAAAGAAUUUGUUUAUAUGAAUAUGAUGUCUCUCUAAAGAUGAAGAAACAAUUUAUUUAUAGAGAGUGAUAUUGCAAAAAGUUAGUGAAACUUAGGAGUGAGCAUUGACUUUAAAAAAAUCAAUUCAAACAAUCGAAAUUAACCAAAUCUAUUUAUUAUUUAAUAUUAAAUAAAACAAACCGCUCAUAGUAAUUGUCUCGUUCCUAGAUUUGGUCGAUUUCCUAAACCUUAAGUCUAUAUUUUCAUUCUAUAGGUUUUGUUUACGGCACUCGGGUGAAAAAAUGGCGCCCAAGGGAAAGAAAACCAAUAGCCCUACUAGCGACAGCGACGAGGACGAAACCUUCUAUUACCGGUAUCCCUCCGCCCCCUCUUCUGACCCGUCGCUGCCGUCGUCUUCACAGUCGCACUUCUCAUCGCAAUCGCACUCACACUCACACUCUUCCACUAAGUCUGGCGGUGGUUCUGGAGGUUUGGUUCCUUCGAAGUCUACUCUCUAUGUUUCCAAUUUCGACUAUUCACUCACUAAUUCCGACCUCCACACUCUCUUCUCCAACUUUGGUAAGAUCGCUCGUGUUACGGUGUUGAAAGAUCGACAGACUCGCAAGUCUCGCGGCGUUGCCUUCGUCCAGUUUAUUUCUCAGGAUGACGCGGUGAAGGCCGCGAAACAGAUGCACGGGAAGAUUUUGAAUGGCCGUGUUCUUAAGGCUGCUAUAGCGACUGAUAAUGGUCGUGCCGCUGAGUUUAUAAGGAAGAGGGUUUAUAAGGAUAAGAGUAGGUGCUACGAGUGCGGCGCAAUUGAUGGGCAUUUGUCUUAUGAAUGCCCUAAAAAUCAAUUGGGGCCAAGGGAGCGACCAGAACCGAAGCGGGUAAGAAGGGGUGGAGUUGGUGCUAGGCACGAGGAGGAUUGGGGAUCGGAUGUUGGAGAAGGGUUUGAGGAUGACAAUUGGGCCUCGGUGGUGGACGGAGAUGCAGACCAGAGACUCCUGACUGGCGGUGAGAACAUUGUAGAGAAGAAAAAAGAGAAGAAAGCAAGUUAUUUCAGUGACGAGAGCGACGAAGAUGAUUAACUGAGCCUGUCUCUUUGGGAAGAGUUUGUAAAAGGUGCGUGGUUUUUACUAUUGUAUUGUUUUUAUCUGCCGUUCCAUUAUAUUUUGAACCUCUAUUUCUGGUUGAUUUUGGUGCAUGAUUUUUGGGUGGCAUUGUUAGAUGAGAUAAAGCUUACAGAGUUUAGAUUUUGGGCUGCCGGGUGCGAUAAGUAAUAAUGAGUUACAGGUAUGUAGUCUACACUUCGUGGUAAUGUCAGGAGUAGUCAGGAUUGGAAUACUAACUCUUAACCUAUGGCACUUGCUCUCCACCAAUAGGUUAGUAAUUGAAACUAGAAAUGUUAUGUUGAAUUCAAAGACUCUCUUUGGAGAGCUGAAAUGUAUGAGUUUAAUUACAAAUCGGCUCUAAAACGCUGAAUCCAACCAUUGGUUAUUGAUUACAUUACAUUACAAUCUCAUCCGAUGACGGUCUACCGAAUACCCCAAGGAUUUAGGCACCGCUGUUAACAGUAUAUGAGCACUACACUGGAAUUUGGAAGUGGUAAUAAAUACUCAUCUUCCAAUGCCUCCUGUUUUCUUUUAAGAGUUAAGGAUUUCUGCAGUCAGAGAGUAUAAGUUGCUUAUUCAAUCUCAUGAGCAUGAGCAAUAUUUGUAUUUUUGUACAUUUUGGAAUUCCCAUAUCAUGAUCUCGGCGUUUAAUGCCAAGGGCUUGAUUUCCCAAUGUGCCAAGACUUGUCCAAAGGAUUCUUUGAUCAAACAUUAUUGUUAUUAUUAUUCUUUUUGAGGAGACAUUUCUUUUAUCAGAAACAUAUAAAUAAUUUCAUUGAUGGGAUGAAAUUACAAAAGAGCACAUAUGCUGCGAGAGAUUACAAAGAUUAUUCCAUUGUGAUAUAAGAGAAGUAAGAUUGUAAUAAUGAAAGUGUGGGGUGAAUUUACACCAAGUGAAGGUUGUAUACAAAAGAUGAUCGAAAAGUGAGUGAAGUCGGAUUCCUUAUCUUUGAAAGUACGAUGGUGGCAUUUGUUUCAGAUGAGCCAAAAGAGAACUCUUCACUAAGAUUAGAUGAAAAGCAAGGGUGGGGAACUCCAGAAAACCCAAGGGACUUGGGAGAAAAAUCAAUCCAAUGACAUCAAUCGAUAAUGAGAGUGAAGUCAUUACUUAAACCUUUAAAGUGGAUACACGUUCACCAAUUUUAAGGUUCAUACCUUGUGGUUUGGAUCAGUGUUAGGUGGUCUGCUCUCUUCUAGUUAGCAUCAUAGUUCAACAUUUUAACCUAAUAUAUUGUAAUCCUCUUCUUCCUACUGACUAUUUGUCCAUUUAGGCACAUUUUCUAAUAAUUUUGCUUUUAGUUUUGUUUGUUUUCUUCUGUUCAAAGACUAGGAAAGAAAAAGUAGUUUUCAAGAACAUUUUUAUCAAUUGUUCAAAGAAGUUUAGUCAUAAGUAAUUUUCAUAAGCAUAAUUUUGUGAAACAAAAUUGUUGCCAAAUAGAGGCUUAAGUUUUUUUAGCUUUCAACUUGACUUUGUGAUCAAUCUCUUCAUGUUUGAAAGAAGAAGGCAUUUGCCACAUUUUAGCGAAGAAGGCAUUUGCCACAUUUUAGCUUUCUCCCCUUUACCACUUUGUUUUAGUGGAGCUACGUGAGGAAAAGGUGCCAUGUCUCUGAACUAUUUUGAUUUAUCAUUCAUAUAAUUUCUUACUUCUAAAUCUCUGAUGUACCGCAAAAAAUAUUGCUAAUAUAUUUGAAUCUAUCUAUUCUAUAACUUAUAUUCUUGCACUUUCAAUGCUUUGAUCAUAGUCACAAGAUGUGUGUGGAAACAACAAAAUGCAACCUUAAACAUAUUGGGUUAAAGAAAUAUUCGAUAUCACUGAUUUCAACUUUUGAUUAUCACUGAUUCAUCUAUAAUUUUGGCUGGAUCCAUGAUCUUCCUAACUCAUAGUAGUAUAUGUUUAUCAUAACCAAUACGUCUUACUGUCGUUACAACAUCUUUGUGGGUUUUUGUUAUUGUUUUGCUUUGUUUUAGCUGUUGGUUUAUUUGACUAGUGACUUACAUGAGAUUUAGUCUACCUUGACAUUUCUCAUAACACGACCCGUCCUUGUCUUCUGAGCUAAGAGGAUCAGGCUUAGUCAAGUCUACCGUCACAUUUCAAUUUAAUGAUCUAUUAUGUUUGAUUUUUCGUGAAUUUGUGUUACUUAAUAUGAUCUAUUUUGUUUCUCGCUUAUCAAAUAAUUGGAAUCAAGAGGAGAUUUGUUUAACAUUUGAUGAGAAUGGUGAUGCGUUAAAGAUUCGAUUUUAUUGCCAAGUGUCUUCGUGAGAUUAUGUCUUUCGGUAGUGUUGAAAGAGCUACUGUUUCUAAUUUUGGUUCAUUUCUUGUUAUGGGAGAUUGGUUUAAGAUAUGGAAUAAAUGUAGUUCAUUUCAGGGUAAUGAUGUUGCAAAGCUUUUUAAUAUUCCUUCACACAACCAUGGUUCCCUGUAUUCAGUCACCUUUAUUUUCUUGUGGCAGGCUACAUUAAGAUAUAUCAAGGUUGGAGACCAAAGUUGAGAGGCUAAAGUCGGUAGUACAAGUUAAAGAUAGGGAGAUUGCAACAGUUACACGAAUAGUACAAUCUCGAGACUUGUCUAAAUUCCAUGAUUUCUCUCUAUUUAACAUUGAACAAGGAAGUUCUUUUCCACAGGAAGCCAAAGGUAAGGCUGCUUUUAAAGCUCAAAUUGACAAGCUACAGUAGGAAAAUGUUGAACUCCAGAGAAGGGUUAUUGGCAAUCAGGUUAUGGUAGUUGGAUGCUGUGAGAUAGAUACUAGUUUCUAUGUAAUAAUUUUAGUACUAAUGUUGUUUUCUGUUUGUGUGCAAAGCAAGUAAGAACUCAACAAAUACAUGAGAUGAAGAAGAAAGAAAAGGAGUACAUCAAAUUGCAGGUGAGAACCUACAGGGUAUAGGAAUACCUACAGGAAAGCUGGAUAUGUAUGUUGCUGCUGCUGGCAUAAACCCUCAAAGAGUAUGUUUUUCUUAGACAAGCUCAACGCCCUCCCUUCAUCCAAUGGUUGUUUAUCCAACUUGAUUUCAAUCAGUUGUGGCUAUUGUUUUAAUUGUUUAUAGGAUUGCCUGCAUUCAGAUUGUUUUAUCUUCUCAUGUUGGGCUACUUCCAAGAAAUUUUUUAAGCGAAGGGUGGAUAAUAGCUCGCUUGUUUAGUCUAAACUUGGGGGAUUUCAAAUUUUGCCCAAAUUUCAAAAUUUUUCAAAAGUUUUUCAUUACAAUAACGAGCAUCAUAACUUCUUAGAUCUUGCAUAAAAGGCAUGACUGUCAACCCUUGAGCACUAAGCUCGGGUUUGUGACGUGAGAUUCUGAAUUUUGAGAAUAAGCUUAUGUCCUUUUUGUUUUUGCUAAGUUUCAACUAAUACACUCGGUAUUUAUCUUUGUGCUUAUGUGAUAGAUUUGUUAUGCACUGUAGUGAUGUGGGGUGUUUCCUUAUUUUCUGCAUCUUAACUACCUUAUUUCCUGCAUUUUAACUAUCUUAUUUCCUGCAUCUUAAAUACCUUAUUUUCUGCAUCUUAAAUACCUUAUUUUCUGAAUCUUAGUUGGUACUGAAAUUUGGUUUGUUUCAGUGAAAGAGGCACUAUCAGCAUUGACAUGUACAUGUGAUUUUAGGCAUGAACCAGGAGAGUGAGAGUUUUAGUGUGCCGUGUUUAGAAUUUGCCGAUAUCUUUUUCCCGUUCCAGCAAGUAUUCCUGAUUGUGGGGGUAACUCUCAAGUCUGCAGUCUUUUCUUCAUGAAAUUUGUAGAUUAUCUAAGAAUACUAAUAUCAUUUAAUGUUGACAUUUUUUUAGCAACUUUUCUUAACCCCACUUUUUGAAUUUCAUUAAGUUUACUCUUGUUUAAUUGACAGAUUCUUCCAGUAAUGCUAGAUAUUGGUACUAACAACGAGAAGUUACUUAAUGAUUCUCUUUGUAAGUGAAAGGGAAACCUUCAUGUCGUUUAUCUCCAUAUUUUCCAUGUAAUGUAUUGUGCUUAUAUUGAUCUGUUUCUGUUGUCAAUGGCGAUAUAUUUGGGUUUUUUGUUGUUGUUGUGGUGGUGGUGGUGAAAUAUUUUAUUUAAGUCUCUAGUUAAUAUUUAUGCUUACUUAACAGAAAAUUUGUUGCUUGAGCUUGCUUCAUUUGGUUCUUUUACUUGUUUAAGUCCUCCUCUAACUAAUUAUACAUUUCGUCCUUUUACUUGUUUAAGUCCUCCAAAAAGUAUUCAUUACUUUAAUAAAUUCCCUCACCAGCAUCAUCACCUCUUAUUCAACAAACUGUUUUUUCCCAAAAGCAAAAAAGGAAAAAAAAAAAAAAGAUAAAGACAAUCAAGAACAACCAUCAACUACAUGAAAAAAAAAAGAGAAGAAAAAGAUAGCUACCGAAAAACAUUACUACCCAUUUUCAUUAUCAUCAUCCUCUACUAUGCUUUUCCACCUUCUUCUAACCCAUUUUUCCAUUGCAGGAUUUAUUGGAGUUGAGGAGUCCCACAAUCUUUAUGUUCUGUUUGUUUUUCCAUCACUUUUUCAAGGCUGUUCAAUUGGAGUUCCAUCUUCAGGUAAUAUUAAUGUGUUUGUUUCUAAGAUAAUUUUGUUAAACACUUGUUUUUGUUGUCCCCAUCCACCAGCUGUUUGGUGAAAUGCCGCAUUGAAUAAUUUUGUGGGUUCUUGGGAAGCGUGUGAUCUAUGUGUUGUGGAAUUUGUAUAAUUAGUUAGAGUGAUUUAGGAAAACUUUUGUAUUUGUAGUUGAAUAGAUAAUUCAUUCCAUAUUUAGAGCAUGAUUAAGAGUUAUUUUGAAAUUGUUAAAAUUACUUCAAAAGAUAUUUGGAUAAUUUAAAUGACUUUCUAUUGUAUGUUGAUCACGUUUGAUAGAUCGAAAACUUUUCUUCUUCUUCUUCUUCUUUGUUUCUUCCUGCUGCCUAUUUGACCUGCAACUUUGAGUGUAGUUGCUUGGCUGUCUAAUUGCCACCACUCAAAGUCACUCCUUCGCCUUCUUAUCACUCUUAAUUUUCUUGACAACAAAGUCAAACUGCUACAGAACAAUCGAAUUUUCGUUUGAUUAAUUUUCUAUCCACAGGAGGCUUUUGUAUGUUGAUCACCCUUGUUUUCUUUGAAAAGUUUAAAAUUCCAUACACGAUAUAUUGGGAAACUUUCACAUUUCUCGGGACAUUAAAAGCUCAAGAGCAUUGAUUUUGAGCAAAAUAAAAAUGAAAAUCCCUUUUAAUUUCCGGCAACACCAUAUUUGAAGUUCAUUGUAUUUUCUUCUUCCAACUACAGGUUGACGUGAUUGUCUUGACAGAUGGAAGUCGUAUUCUUGGCCUCGGUGACCUUGGAGUUCAGGGAAUAGGAAUACCUAGAUUGGAGGGAGAAGAGUAUCUAUCUAUUGUUGAUGAAUUUAUGGAAGUCGUGGAUACAUGUUGGCCUAAAGCUAUUGUUCAGGUUUAUUGGUUAAGAUAUCAAAUUUUUAACUGUGUUCACUGCCAGUAAUCAGUAUCGUAAUCUCGCAAUUUGAUUUUGAAUGAUGCCAGUUUGAGGACUUUCAAAUGAAAUGGGCUUUUGAAACAUUACAACGUUAUCGUAAGAGGUUCUGCAUGUUCAACGAUGACAUACAAGUGAGUAGUUCAUGUUGUAUUCAUGCAGUUGAUAAUUACUUAAAAGGACAUUCAUUUUCGUUUAUUUCAUUUCAUAAAGGGAACUGCUGGUGUUGCUCUCGCUGGACUAUUGGGAAAUGUGAGAGCUCAAGGGCAGCCAUUGAGUGAUUUUGUUAACCAAAAGAUAGUAGUGGUAGGGGCUGGAAGGUAUUGUCAGCUGUUUAACUUUAACAUUUUCUCCAAAUAGCAAUACUGCUAACUAUUUAGGGAUCGUAAGCCUUGUCCUCUUUGUUGAAACAAAAGUGGUUGUUUGAAUGAGGAAUUACUAUUACUAUUACUAUUACGUGAAUAUAAGAGAAAUGAAAACUUUGGAAACUAUAGUUCAAUCCUUUUGGUUUAACCUUCAUUUGUUUCAACAUGCUGUUUUUUCUCCUCUUUCAACUUCAGUGUUGGGCUCGGUGUUCUUAACAUGGCUAUUCAGGCUGUUUUGAGAAUGGUAGGGAACAACGAUUCUACUGCAAGAAAUCGAUUUUUUUUCUAAUAGACAAAGAUGUAAGAAUCUUUUUCAAACUUUCAUUUCUCAAUUUAUGCAUCAGUCUGUCCAAGUUUUUCCUUCCAUGAGAGUUACUGAUUUCAGAAACCAAUCGGAUGGGGUUUGGAAUUUGGGUAGCUUUAUUAUGGGUUAAUUUGUAUGACGCAGUUUCGUGUGAAAAGUAUGAGGCAGUUGAAGAAGUUAAAUGACUUGUGGUGGUAGUAAUCAGUGUCAAACUCAUGUGGUUUUUAACUUACAAAGAAAGAGGAAAAAUAUCAACUUAGUCCGAUGCAGAUUAGGGUUUUAAGUCUUCUAUCUAAUUGUUUGUGUGAUAAAUGCAGUUACUUUAUCAAAAACAAAGAAGAAAAGGAAGGGACCACAAGAUUCUUUAGUAUUUUAAUUUUAUUGCAUUACAUUAUAUUCAAUCUUCAUUUUUCUUGGUUGUGCUGCAAAUGGUGUUUCUUCUAUUAUGGAUUUGCAUUAUACAACAUUGCCAUAUUAAGUCAUAAAGUUAUGAAAAUUAGAAACACACCCUUUGUAGGAGAGAACAUGAUCCUUCCUUUGAAGUAAAUUGAGAGAAUUUCCUCUACUGCCUCAAUUUUAAGGCUUGAGGUUUGAAGAACAAGGAUGAAUAAUCAACGAAAAAGGAAUGAAGAGGUUUCUCGUUUAGGGAAAAUAGCGAUUUUUCGUUUUUCAUACUUCCAAAACGACACAAGUAUGAACUUAUUGUGUAUUAAAUUGAUCGAGAGGCCUUCCAAUUGUUUGUUAAUCUAUAGUUUCUGUCUCUAUUUUAAUUAACUGCUACAUGUAGAAGCCUAACUAACUUAGUUAGAGUUCUAUCAAAAAAAGGAAAGAAAAAAAGGAAGAAGAAAGAUCAUGUGAUAAAUUUAUAGAAAUGCCAUGCAAUUAUUUUCUAACUAUUAAUUUAUGUUUCUGUGGUAAAUUACUGCUACUAGAAAUCUAAUUGUGUUCGGUUAGUUAGACUUCAUGGGUUUGAUUUUUUUUUUUUUUUUUGUUAAAGAGGUUCCAUAAGUAUACCGAUGGUUUUGAAAUUUUGAUUUGAUGCAUGUCUGAGAAAUUUCAAGGCUAAAUUAUACAGAAUACCCAUAAACUUUGUACUUUAUAUAAAAAUACCAUUGAAAAUACACCCAAAACAUAAACUACCAAAAGUGUUAAAAAUACAGUUAAUAUAAUUAUCCUAAUUUUAGUAAUAAAUGAAAUUGAGAGAACUUUCUUUGAUUUUCAGGAACAAGGAUGAAUAAUCAAUGAAAAAGGAAUGAAGAGGUUUAUCCAUGCAAGCUUCAAACCAAAGCCAAGGAUGUCGAUCCUUCCAGGGGAGUCCAAAGUUCUCCCUUAUUUUUCUCCCUUUAUUUUGAUUUUCAAAAGUUUGCAAUUUUUUAAGUGGGGGUGGGCAAUUGCUUGCAUGUUUAGUCUAAACUUGGAGGUUCAAAUUUUGCCCAAAUUUCAAAAUUUCUAAAAAAAAUUUCCUUACAAUAAUGAGCACUAUACCUUCUUAGAUUACUUAGAUCUUGCAUAAAAAGCAUGACUAGCAACCCUUGAUCACUGAGCUUGGGUUUGUGAUGUAAAAUUCUGAAUGUUGAUGAGUAUAUGUGCUGAAAUUUGAGAAUAAGCUGCCAGUGUUUUUUGGUUUAAGCCCAUUUUUAGCGAUAUCUUAUGGAGAUGUGAAUGCAUGAUUGAGAAAAUGGUACGUGUGUUGUGAAUGCUUGAUUGCAUGCAUAUAAUAAAUAAGUGCAUGGAUACUUUUCUAGCUUUGUCUUCCUUUGUUUCUUUGCCAUGACUUACCUAUGAUGCGCUUAGUCCAAACCUAGCCUAGAUAGAGUUAAAAAAGGAUAGGAGGUACUCUUUAGAAAUUGAGAUGGUUUUAACAAAUUUGUCUUGUCAAACAUGAGUUUGGAGCCUCUUGUCUAGCCACAAUGAACUAAAUCCCUUUAGAAAGGGUGGGCAUUAACAAAUCUUGUUGUCACUUCGAAGGGAGCAGUCAAACUUAGAAACUAAGUGUAGAACCAUAGAAAGGUUACCCCAUCGGUUAUUGUGUGCGUACCAAAGAAAGAAAAGAGAGACUUGCAAAUGUAAAACUUAAGACAGCGAGACAAUUAAGAGCUAAAAAAAACAAAGAACAUAUGCAUUAUACAUCAGAAAAAUCCCAUAAAAAAAUGAAGGGAAACUUCACUUUUGGCCUAACCAAAAGCAGACCACCUACUCUUAGCGUUCUAGACAUAGCAUUGAGUUUGAUGAGGGCUUUGAAAAUAGGAGGAAUCCUCCCCGUUCCACACUAGGGGAAAAACGAGACUUGUCACUCCGAAGGGAGCAGUCAAACUUAGCAUUGAGUUCAAGGUAUCCUUCUUAGAUUCUUGAAUCAUGACUACAUUAGGACUACAAUAGUUGAUGAAUUUUUUAAGUGCACGUUUAGAGGGGUCGUUCAAACUCCUAGUGCUCCAGGAGACAACCUUCAUAAUGACUGGGAGGAGGAAAAGGCAGUUGCACAUCUAAUUUAAGCCAUAAUGAUUCCACAAUCACCGACUAUAGACACUAAAUCAUUAGGCAAAUCCAGGGGAAUUUUAAUAGGGAGAAUAUCUUCAUCAUUGAACAAGACAUUCAGAUCCAUCCCAUUAAUUUCUUGGACUAAUUUAGGGUCAACUUCAGUGUUGGGGACUGCCAAUUUAACUGAUCUCCACAGUAAGUUGAUUAAGUUGGGGAACACGAGACAAGGCAUCUGCUGCUUUGUUUUCUAGUCCCGGUUUAUACACGACAUCAAAAUUGUAGCCAAGAAGCCUAGCAAUCCACCUCUGAUGUCGAGGUUGGAUAACCCUUUGUUCCAAUAAAAGUUUCAAUGAUCGUUGAUCAAUUUUCACUACAAACCUCCUGCCCAAAAGAUAAGGUCUACAACAUUGCACAGCCAAAACUACAGCCAUAAAUUCCCGUUCAUAAACUGGUUUAGCACGACCCCUCAUAGCUAAUGUCAGGCUAAAAUAAGCAAUUGGCCGAUGAUUUUGAAUUAAGACAGCAUCUACCCCGUAUCCAGAAGCAUCGGUCUCUAUUUCAAAUGGUAAGGAAAAAUCUGGCAGUGCUAAGAUUGGGAGAGUCAUCAUAGCCAUCUUUAAAUUCUCAAAAGUUUCAGCAGCUACAACAGUCCAUUCAUAAGCUCCUUUCUUCAAUAAUUGAGUCAAAGGAGCAGCCUAAUUCAUUACAAAUCUUCGAUAAUAUCCUGUCAACCCAAGAAAUCCACGAACUUCACGGACAUUUGUGGGCACGGGCCAUUCUUUGAUAGAUCUAAUUUUCUCGGGAUCGACCUCUACACCCUUGCCCGAAAUUAUAUGGCCAAGAUACUCCACUUUCAUUUUGGCAAACCCACACUUGUGCAUAUUAGCAUAUAAUUUAUUCUCUCGCAGCACCUCUAACACCCAUUCUAAAUGUUGAAGAUUUUCAUCCAAACUUCUGCUGUAAAUUAAAAUAUCAUCAAAAAAGACUAAGACAAACCUGCGUAGGUAAGGUUUAAAGAUACUAUUCAUCAAAGCUUGAAAUGUUGAUGGUGCAUUGGUGAGCCUAAAAGGCAUGACAAGAAACUCAUAAUGCCCCUCGUGAGUUCUAAAAGCUGUUUUCUCCACAUCCUUUUUACACAUUCUAAUUUGAUGAUAUCCCACCUUGAGAUCAAUCUUCGAAAAUAUAUUAGCCCCAUUAAGUCAUCAAAAAAUUCCUCUACUACUGGAAUAGAAAACUUGUCUGGAACGGUCACACUAUUCAACGCACGAUAAUCUACACAAAACCGCCAACUACCAUUUUUUUUCACCAACAAGACCAGGCUCGAAUAUGGACUAGUACUAGGUUUUUAUGCCAGAUGCCAUCAUUUCAUCAACUAAUCUUUCCAUCUCAUCCUUUUGCUGGUAUGCAUAUCUAUAAGGUCGAACAUUGACUGGAUUAGUCCCCUUCUUAAGAUGUAUAUGAUCUUCAAUGGUACGUUGUGGUGGCAACUCUCCAGGCCAAUCAAAAACAUCUUCAUACUUAGCUAACACGGCUGGAAUAGACUCAUGAAUGGUAGACACUUCAUCAACCCCAUACAACGCUGCAAAUGCCAUUCCACCUUCCAAAGAUCUACACUCAAUCACAAAUCCCUAAUCAAGUUCUGUCCAUGUCUUCAUCAUGUGCUUCAAACUCACCCUAGCCUUCGUAAGACUCGGAUCUCCCCUUAAUACAACCUUCUUCCCAUUUUGUAUGAAUGUCAAGGUAAGUUUUCGCCAAUCUACUUCAGUUACUCCUAAUGUAUGUAGCCAUUGCAUAUCAAGAAUGACAUCCCCCCCCCCCCCCCCCAAUUCCAAUGGCAGAAAAUUAUCCACAACCUUCCAUUCACCCAAUAGCAGUUCCACUUGUUUACAAAUUCCCUUCCCUUUUACAGCAGAUUCAGACCCCAAAAUAACCCCAUAAUCAGAAGUUUCCUGCGACUGCAACAACAAUUGAGUUACUAACUUUUCAGAUAUAAAAUUAUUGGUCGCGUCGCAAUCUAUCGAUACUACUACUGACCAAGCAGAAACCUGGAAUUUUCCAUCCGCUGCACGUUUGAAACUUGAUUCUCCCAUUAUCACUUCUCGGUUCUCAAUCUUUUGGGCCAACUUCAUCAUUUGAGCAAGCCCCAUAGGUUCCCAACAUUCCAUGUCUACCUUAAUCCAUGGUUUCAAACCAUUCAUAAAUGUUUCUUCUAAGACAGCCUUUUGUAGAAAAGGCAAUGGUGCUACUGAUUUAUCAAAUAAAUUCCAAUAUUCUUCCACUGUAAUUUCUUUCUUGAUCUUUAAAAAUCUUCCCAGAAUUAAUCCCUCACGACUCGAUCGAAAUCAAACAAUAAGUCUCUUCUUUAAAUCGUCCCAAUUAACAAACGGUUCACGAUCUUCAUGAGAUCUAUACCAAUUCAAAGCUGCUCCAUCAAAACUAAUAAUGGACACAGUCAUUUUCUCUGACUCACUCAGUUUGUGUAUCUGAAAGUAUCUCUCAGCCCUAAAAAACCAAGAAUCAGGAUCAUUUCCCACAAAAACUGGCAUUUCAAUUUUUUUAAAUUUGCUUUGGUCGCCUGCAGAAUCUUCACCCUCCAACUUGGUAUGUUUUUCCUCAGAUUUUCCUCCCAUCAUCGUCCAAUCACUGACAUCAACCAUGCUGUCAACUCACUUGAUGGUCCUUCUAGUACUUCUUCCAUCGUUGUCUUCCCUUUGAUCAUUCCUUCAAUAUAUUUCAACAGUGUUUCUGGUUGCUGUUGUUGCUUCUCAGCCUGUACUCCUAACCUCUCAAUACUCUUCGCCAAAGAUGACAUGUUUUCCUUGAUUGUUGGCAGAUCAUGUAAUUCUGCUCGAAUGCCGGAUAUUUCUUGAUCUACCAUUUCCAACUUUUCCUCAAUUCGCUUUUGAGCCAUGAUAUAGAACUUCAUAGAUUCGAUUUCUCCGAUACCAAAAUGAUAGAACACCAAAUAGUGUGUUCUACUAAUUUAUUAAUCAGCCAAACAUUUACAGAAAACAGGUUCUAACACAGUCUUGAAAACAAAGUACUCGACAAUUUGGAAGACAGAAAGCCCUAGAAGAGUGAAUAUCACGCUUUGGAGAAUGCGAAAUGGACUAUGAACUGUGCAGAAGUUUUGCAAAUGAAACCUCCCUUUCUCAUACAAAUAUGAUGAGAUAAACUGUGAGAGGAAGGUUUCAUUUGCAAAACUUCUGCACAGUUCAUAGUCCAUUUCGCUUUCUCCAAAGCGUGAUAUUCACUCUUCUAGGGAUUUUUGUCUUCCAAAUUGUCGAGUAUAAAUGUUUUUCAAUUGGGGAGGCAAUGGAGAGAUGGUUGACUAAUGAAUGAACCAAAAACUUCCCAUUUGAUUCUGAUUUCUAGGUUCUUUUAUUUUGGGAGACUUGAAAUUCAUAUAUUUCUUCAACUUUUAGAAGUCUCCUGAAAUUUAGAGCCCAUGAAGUAGUGGAAGAGUCCCAAAACUCCUUUACAUCUCUAUUAUUAGAGUUCAAAGACAAUCUAAAUGAUCUUGAAAAGAAACAACAUCUGCCCAAAAAUCAUUCCAAAAUGCUAUUCUUCAACCAUCACCGAACUUGAACAAUGCCUAGGAAUCCACUUGAAGCUAGCAUCUCGAAAUGCUAAUCCAGGGACUAUGGAGACUGCAAGUGACAAUUCCUUUAGUAUGCCAUCCAAAUUAACUUUCUCCAUGGAUACUCUUCACCACUUUAGCCCAAAGGGAAUUCUUUUCAUUUAUAAAUCUCCAUCCCCAUUUAGCAAGAAGGUUGCAUUUUUUUAACGUUGCACCAUCGACGCUGAGUCCACCAUCCUCUUGCGAACAAGACACCACCUUCCAAUUAAUCACUUUAUGAAUCAUCUUUUCUGGCAUUAAGAAUAUAGACAUAUAGUGUGUAGGUAUAUGUGAAAAAACCGACUUAGGAUUUGCUAGGUCGUUUUGAAAACUCAAGUAAUACCUAGACACGUUUUGAGCACGUUUUAGGUUGGUUUGAACUAAGUUUGCUGCAAUUACACACCUGGUUGCCAUUUAGGGGCUUGUAGUGCUUUUUUCACAAUAUUUGAACUUUUUUCGUAGGGCAUGAGUUACGAACCUACACGUAAGCUGUUUUAGGACAUUUUGAAAGUUCAAGUGAUACUUAGACACGUUUUUAACUCGGUUUAGGUUGGUUUGAAACUAAGUUUGUUGACCUUAUCCAAUUGGUUGCCAUUUUCGGUCUUGAAGUGCCCUUUUCACACUUUUUGAACUUUUUGGUAGGCUAUGGGUUACCAAUUUACACUUAAACUUUGUUUAGUUGUUUUGAAAGUCCAAGUGAUACUUAGACACGCCUUGACCACUUUUUAGGUUGGUUUGGAACUAAGUUUGUUGCACUUGCGCACUUGGUUGCCAUUUUGGGUCCUGUAGUGUUUCCUUUUUUUCCAUACUUCUUGAACUUUUUGGUAGGUUAUGAGUGACAAACUUACAAAUAAACAUUAUUAGGUCGUUCUGAAAGUUCAAGUGAUACUUAAACACGGUUUGAAAUUUUUUUAGAUUUGUUUAAAACUAAGUUUGUUUCACUCGCAUACUUGGUUGCCAUUUUAGGUCUCAAAGUGCAUUUUUUACGCAUUUUGAACUUUUUGUUAGUUUGUGAGUUACGAAUUUACACUUAAGGAUUGUUAGGUCGUUUUAAACACAUUUUGCGUUGGUUUGAAACUAAGUUUGUUGCACUUACACAUUUGAUUGAAAUGUUGGGUCUUGAAGUACUUUUUUUCACACUUUUUGAAAUUUUUUUAGGUUGUGAGUUACGAACUUACGCUUGAGUAUUGUUUGGUCGGUUUGAAAUCUUAGACACGUUUUGCACUCUUUUUAGGAUGGCUUGAAACUAAGUCCGUUGCACUUACAUACUUCGUUGCCGUUUUGGGUCUUGAAGUGCUUUUUUUACACUUUUUGAAAUUUUGGUAGGUUGUGAGUUACAAACUUACACUUAAGCAUUGUUUGGUCGUUUUGAAAGUUGAAGUGAUACACACACGUUUUGAAUACAUUUUAGGUUAGAUUGAGUUUGUUGCACUUGGUUGUCAUUUUUGCUCUUGAAAUUCUUUUUUCAACCUUUUUGGUAGAUUAUGAGUUACGAACCUACAUUUAGGAUUUGCUAAGGUCGUUUUGAAAACUCAAGUAAUACCUAGACACGUUUUGAGCACGUUUUAGGUUGGUUUGAACUAAGUUUGUUACACUUACACACUUGGUAGCCAUUUUGGGUCUUGUAGUCAUUUUUUCACACUGUUGGAACUUUUUUCGUAGGUUAUGAGUUACGAACCUACACGUAAGCUGUUUUAGGUCGUUUUGAAAGUUCAAGUGAUACUUAGACACAUUUUUUUCAAGUGAUACUGUUUUAGGUCGUUUUCAAGUGAACUUUUUUCUUCUUGUAUUGACUGUUUUACUAUUUCUUCAUGGUUUGUAUUCAUGGUAUUUAUUUUCGUAAUGAAUCUUUCAUGUUCUGGUAAACAUUGCAGAAACACAUAAUUUCAGCAAUCUGUCAAAGAGUUGAAGGAGAAGACAGAAGUACUUAAAGGUCACAUGAAGACCUAAAAGUUAGGUAAUUUUUUGAAAACUUUUUUCUUCGUCUUGCUUAGUUUUAGUGGUAUUUGUUAACAGGCUGAGACACACUCUUGUAUGCCAAGGCUGGGUGGCCAAUUCAAUGGAUGGCCUGAGACGGUGAAAUGACGAGUGUAGAACAAAGUAGACAAUCGAGCAGAUUUACAAGUAGGAGGAUGGUGUUUGGUCUUACUGUAAAGCUACUGCUAGAAAGGUGAUUCUCCCUUUAUUUACACAUGUUAUCUAUAUUUAAUUACUGUUUUUAUGUGAUGGUGAAUAAAUAUUUAAGUCGUUUCAAGUUUUUACAUCAUGCUUGAGUUAAUACAUUUCCCAACUCGCACUAAUUUUAAAGUUGAGACUAAGUUUGUUGCACUUACACACUUGGUUUCCAUUUUGGAUUUUGGAGUGCUUUUUCUACAUUUUUUGAACUUUUUGGUAGGUUAUGAGUUAUGAAGUAACACUAAAGCAUUAUUAGGUCGUUUUUAAAGUUCGAGUGAUACUUAAACAUUUUUUAACACCUUUUAGGUUGUUACAAACUAAGUUAGUUUUACAUACAGCCAUGGUUGCCAUUUUGAGUCUUGAAAGAUUUUUUUUCACACUUUUUGAAAUUUUUGGUAAGUUAUGAGUUAUAAACUUACACUUAAGCGUUGUUAAGGUGUUUGAAAACUUAUACGUGUUUUCAAUACUUGUUAGGUUUGUAUAGAACUAAGUUCGUUGCACUUACACACUUGACAUUUUGGGUUUUGGAGUGUCUUUUUAAAAAAUUUGGAACUUUUUGCUAGGUUAUGACUUAUGAACUUGUAUUGAAUAUUUGUUAGGUCGUUUUGAAAGUUCAAGUGAAACUUAGACACGUUUUGAACUCGUUUUAGGUUGGUUUGAAACUAAGUUUUACACACAUUUGAUUGACAUGUUGGGUCUUGAAGUACUUUUUUCAUACUUUUUGAAAUUUUGGUAGGUUGUGAGUUACAAACUUACACUUAACCAUUUCUGGGUCGUUUUGAAAAUUCAAGUGAUACUUACACACGUUUUGAAUACAUUUUAGGUUAGAUUGAGUUUGUUGCACUUGGUUGUCAUUUUUGGUCUUGAAAUGCUUUUUUCAACCUUUUUGGUAGAUUAUGAGUUACGAACUUACACUUAGGAUUUGCUAGGUCGUUUUGAAAACUCAAGUAAUACCUAGACACGUUUUGAGCACGUUUUAGGUUGGUUUGAACUAAGUUUGUUGCACUUAGACACUUGGUUGCCAUUUUGGGUCUUGUAGUGCUUUUUUCACACUAUUUGAACUUUUUUCAUAAAUUAUGAGUUAUGAAUCUACAUGUAAGCUGUUUUAGGUCGUUUUGAAAGUUCAAGUGAAACUUAGACACGUUUUGAACUCGUUUUAGGUUGGUUUGAAACUAAGUUUAAAACACAUUUGAUUGACAUGUUGGGUCUUGAAGUACUUUUUUCACACAUUUGGAAAUUUUGGUAGGUUGUGAGUUACAAACUUACACUUAAGCAUUGCUUGGUCGUUUUGAAAAUUCAAGUGAUGUACACGCGUUUUGAAUUCAUUUUAGGUUAGAUUGAGUUUGUUGCACUUACACACAUGGUUGUCAUUUUUGGUCUUGAAAUGCUUUUUUCAACCUUCUUGGUAGAUUAUGAGUUACGAACUUACACUUAGGAUUUCCUAGGUCGUUUUGAAAACUCAAGUAAUACCUAGACACGUUUUGAGCAUGUUUUAGGUUGGUUUGAAUUAAUUUUGUUGCACUUACACACUUGGUUGCCAUUUUGGGUCUUGUAGUGCUUUUUUCACAAUAUUUGAACUUUUUUCGUAGGUUAUGAGUUACGAACCUACACGUAAGCUGUUUUAGGUCGUUUUGAAAGUUCAAGUGAAACCUAGACACGUUUUGAGCAUGUUUUAGGUCGUUUUGAGUAAAUGGUAUGUAUGUUGUGAUUGUUUGAUUGCAUGUAUAAUACCUUAUUGAGAUGUGAAUGCUUGAUUGAGAAGCUGAUAGAACACCAGGUAAUGGUUCUUAUUUGUUCAUUAAGCAACCAAACUAUUACAGAAUACAAUACUCAAACUAGUCUUGAAAACACAGAACAAACAAGUACUAUUACAGACAAUAACCAUGUACAAAAUAAAACAUUCAAACAUCAAAAGUAGUUUACGAUAAUGGAAAACACUUUCUAAGAUUAAAGUAACUGAACAACUUCUGAAAUUCUGCUCUCCAGAAAAUACAGCCCUUCCACUUCCAGAAACUGAUUAACCAACCCCCAUCUUUCCUUCCAAAAUAAAACAUUCAAACAUCAAAAGUAUGUAGGAAGGCUAACCAGAACUGAGUUGCAUAAGGUUUGUCUUCCGCCUCUAGAGAUGUUAUAUCUUUUCAUCUAAGAACAAAAUUGAUCACUUUUUUUCCCUUGACAAUCUCUCUAGUUUCUAGGUUAGGUUAAGUGAUGGGAAUGACUAACCACACUCACAAACGUUUAUCUGUAUGGCUAUUGCAAGCAUGCUACUUGCAUAGACAAUCCAUUUCUAAAUAGUUGCAUAGAAUGUUUACUUAUUGGUAUUAAAUAUUCUUGUUUGAAUAAGAGGUUUUCUUUAAUGGUUAAGUAAGCUCCUGAAGGUGACAAGUACAAGGUUGCACGAACGUGGGGCCGUAUCAAUAUUGUUACUCGGAAAUGGUUUGAUCAGUCCAUGGCCAGAAAAGGUAGUAGUUCGGGUUGUAUAUUUGAAAACCGAUAUGAUAUUUGAAUUGUUGGCAGUUAUUUGUCUAAUAAUUUUAUUAGUUUCUAACUUGUUUCAAAUCCUUUUAUUCUCAUUUUUAAUUGAUAGGAUGUUUUAAUGAGGAGCUGUACCCUGUUGGUAGCGUUUCUGGAACUUCAAAUAAAUUGACAAGGGGUUGCUUGACUGCUCACAAUAGCCAAGAAAAGGAUAUUGGGAACUUGGAAGCUGUACCGUCCUCAUUUCUUACCGAUUCAAAAUUCACAGCAGUUGCUGGUCCUGGGUUUUCAGACAUGGAUGUUAAAGUUACUCUUUCACAGAGCACGUCUAUGUUUUCAGAUGCUUCUAAUUUUAUAAAUGAGGUUGAUGUUGAAGUGCCAGUCACGAUGGGAAGGAAUGAAGAAAACACUGUUAAUUGUCUUGCAAAUGACUUUUAGUCUGAAGAAAACGACCUAUAUUUGUCAGCAUGUAGAAUAAAAGUUGUUGGGUUUGAAGCUUCUGAGAUGCGGAAGAUUGUAAAUAUGAUUCUCAGAGGUGGAGGCUCCCGAUACAUGGUUUUCAAUGACAAAUUAACACACAUAAUAGUUGGAGAUUCGUCAGAAAUGUAAUUAUCCUUUUACUUUAAUCGCAACAUAGGUUUUGUGAACUUUAUUGCUUGAAUUUGUGAGCUCGCCUGUGCUGUGAGCUUUUUGAUUUCAUUUGAAUGGUCUAUCCACCCAAUUGAAAAUUAGUUUUAUCAUAUUUCAAAUGGCAGGGAGAAAAAGGAGGUUAGAGAUAUUGCUACUUCAGGAGUUGUUCAUGUGGUUAGAUCCAACUGGCUUGAAGAGUGUGACCGUCAGAAGAAGGAGAUCCCUAUUCUUGGUAGACACAUGGCAUAUGAUGAACUUAUUCCUAAAGGUUUGAUAUGCAGGACUCGUAUUCUAAGCUAUCUGUCUUUUGAAUAGCAACCUUAAACUACCAUCAUGCAGAAUAACUGCACAUUUCAUUUGGAUGCAUGACUAAUAUUUGUUUGGAGAUCCCUAGCCUGUUUGUCUUGUUCUAAAUUUUCUGGCUGUUUACUUUGCAGCAUCUAGUAAAAUGAGCACCAUUGUUAUGGAUCAAAAUAAAGUUCCAAAUGUUCAUCCAAUCGUGCCAUCAAAUGUGUCAGAAGGAAAUAUUCAUGUUAGCAUUGGAAAGACGUCAAUAGCAGUGGAAAGAAUUGAAGAAAAAAGUGAAACAAAAGUGAAUGGAGACAGGAAAAUGAAAUUAUCCCAGAAAAGCCAACAAUGUGUAGCAAAUGGUACAAACAAGAGUUGAGAAAAGAUGGGGCGUGAUUUCAUGGUUUCAAAUGGGAAGUCAUCAUGUGUAUUUAAGGGGAAAAUAUUUUGUUUUUCUAGUUCCUUUCCAGAAGAUCGGGUAUGUUGUAAAGAUUCUUUCCUCUUAUUUCAAACAGCAUGAUUAAUGUACACUAUGCACUUUAGGUUUUAGAUGUAUUAUUGUGGUAAAUAGCAUCCAUUUUUUUAAAAAAAUAACAAAGUAGAAGCCCUGUAUUCAAUAUCAAUUGACUUGAGUAAAGAGUAGUUCAUUACUGCUCCAACUCCAUGAUUUUAAAAGCAAGUCAAUGGUGCAGAUAGGAUUCUAGAUCUACUGUUUCUUUAACACUCCGAUCCUGUUAAGAGAAUGAUAUAAAAAAAAUGGAAAAAUUACCUUUUUAGUCCCCAAUUUUAUAGAAAUAGGUUUAUUGGUCCUUGAGUUUUCAAAAUGUACUCUUUUAAUCCUUGAGUGCUUAAUGUUAUACUGGAGACUCUCAAAACCAAUUUUUAGAAGAAGUUAUUCUACCUUAAAAAUGUAUAAAGUUAUAUUGGGGACUUUCUAAACCAAUUUUUAUAAACUUAGAGACUAAAAAGGUGCAUGACCAAAUGGGUCUAUUUUUCUAAACCUGGAGACUAAAAAUGUACAUUUUUAAAACUCAAGAACCAAACACACGUGUUCUUCAAAACCAAAACUUGGGGAGUAAUUUUCCUAAAAAAUUUAAGAUAGUGCCAAAUGUCAUUUAGCAUGUGAAAUAAUUACGAUUUUCAUUUUUCAUUUGAGGAAUAUGCCUUCAAAUUUUUUUUACAUUUUAUUUUUGAACACUAACAAACAUGCAUCAACUUUUGACUUCCAUAAUCCCAAAUAUUUUUUAUGUAUAUUUUGAGAUCAUAUUUGAAAUUCUCCUACUAGAGAGCUGAAAUUGUUGAAUGGAUAAAUCAAGGGGGAGGCGAGGUUGUUGAAGAUCACAUGAAGCAGAAAGUGCACUUCACUGUUGAAUGUCAUGGUGGGAUACCAAGGAGUACAGACGUUCAUAGUACUUAUGUGUCAAGUCAUCGGGUUCGAUCAUGUUUAGAGGUAAGCGAUAAUUAAUUGUCUUAUUUGUGAUUUCCGUUUUAGAGCUCUACUAUUGGGUUUUGUUUGUGUUUCCCUUUUUGGACAUAAAAGUCCACACAAGGUUGAAUAGCAUAUUUUGUUUCAUUUAGCCACUGCAAGUUUGGAUUGUGUUUGGGUUGGAGCUUUGAAUUUUGAGGGACUUUAGUUUUGUGUUGAGCCACGCUCUUAUAAUAUGAAGGAUGGAUACUGUUUUUUCCAAAACCAAACGCACAUCAGUUUUCUAAGAUUACAACAACUGUCCUCCCAGUGUAAAAAAAGGUAUCCUCAAACCAACCAAAAGAAGGGGAAUAUGUGAGCAAGAUUUAUAGUUAAUAAAUCAUCAAAAGUAAAUUAGAGUUGGACUCGAGAACUCUUGCUGAUGUAUAGGAAAAGCAGACAAGGUAUGGGAAUAUAAAUUAAAACAGCCUUUAGAUGAAAAGGGCUGCUACAACUGAUCCUACCUCAAAUGGCGGUACCAAAAUAUAGGACUUGAACCUCAGUCUUCUCCCUCGCCCGUUGUUCUUGGCAAUGUUAAAGUAUCUCAAUUCGUACACAUUCAUCUCCUUGUUUGAAGCAAUAACUCAAAGCCAAUCUCUAAUGUUGUGUUUCUUGAAAUUCUUCUUAGCCAAGUAUUUAAGAUUCCUCUUGGAGAAGUAGCUAUUGGAGUUGAUGUUGAUCUUGUUCUUGUCCUGAGUGAUAGUGACUGAGUCAUCAAGUGUCUCUGCCACCCCAGCUUUGUUGGUCUGAUGAGGUGAUGGCCGUGAUCUUGUCCUCAACUGGCAUCACACAAUCAAAUGGUCACAUCCUUAUUUUUUCCCUUUGGGCCACCAGAUGCGGCUGGUCGAUGACUCAUUCUGCUUCUGCUCUGCUACUUGUUUCCCUAACUCUGCAUCUGUAUAGAACAAUUGGCAUAAAUGGUGGAUACUAUUAAAUUGGAAAAUGGAGAUUCAAUCAGUUCUAUCAUUUUGACCUUUUGAUGUUUAGGGGAAGGUGGUAACAUAAAUUUACCUUCUCAGACUAUCCAUUAAGGUUGGUCUGAAAAGAAAAGGGUGGUCUAUCUUGGAAAACAUAUUUGGUUGUUCUCUUUUUUCUUCACUCUGUCUACAUUUUGGAAAUAUGAGUGCUAUCAUUGUGUGAGAGGUUUCUUUAUUGACAAAAUUAAUUGGAGUUCAACAUUUGAAGAAGUCUUUCUAUGACUGUCCCUUGAACUCCAAAGGUUUGCACUCCAUCCCUGUGCCAAACAAAUAGAUGCUUCUUAUAUAUUUUUCUCUGGAAUUGAGAAAGUAUUGAUGCACACUUCUGUUAAAUGCGUUAAAUUACGGCUUUGAAGCCAAUUUUGAAUGGAUAGCUGGCGUAGAAACUGCCAUUAUUGAUGAAAUUUGAUACUACUGAUGAUUUUUAAUUUUAAUUUUAUAUUAUUAUUAAUUUCGUAGCCUAAUUAUGUUCAAUAUCUUAAACUGAUAUUUGAAAUGAGAAUUGAAUUUUUAUCUUGUUUUUAUUUGUUUACUGACUAUUUCAAAUAAACUCGUUAUGAAGGAUGGAUGUUUGUGGGAUACCAAUGGGCACAUUUUCUAUUCUCCUCUUCCUUGCUGUGUCCCUUUGCCUGGAUUUGAAAACAUACGGUUUUGUGUUUCACAAUAUGAUGACAAAGACAGAGUAUUGUUAAGAAAUCUGUGUUUUGUACUUGGGGCCAAGUUUGUGGAGAAGCUGACAAAGAAGGUAACCCAUCUAAUAUGCAAGUUCACCGAUGGGACAAAUUAUGAGGCUGCUUGUAAAUGGGGGAAACAAUGCAUUACAGCUGAAUGGAUAUAUGAGUGUGUCAGCCAGGUACCUUUGCGAUUUUGUUGCUUUUCAAUUAUAUAUGUUCACGUACAUGCAUAUCCUGGUAGAAUUCUAGACCCAUUGGUGUAUCCUUCUAUUAGGAUUGAUGUUUUUUAUGUUUAAACUUUUGGUUUCCUUUGCAUUUGGUUUAAUCCUUAAUCGUACCAGAUUUUCCCGCCAGACUGUUCGCUUGUUGGUCAAGACCAUUCAGAAACUUCUCCAAUUGGUGCUUUAUCUAACCAGUGGUCAAAAAGGUAAUUUUUGCCGUUGUCUCCUUGAUCUUCUUAUGGAAAGACCAUGCUGAAUUGAAGUGUUUAACAAGAACGGUCGCUGCCUGGAAAUAUAGUGAGACCAUUCAACGAAGUCGUUAUGAAAGAGUUUAUUUUCACUAUAAGAGAAAUAUUUUUUUUUAUAUUCUUUUAGUCUCUACUGAUGAAUUGCUUCCUAGAACAAUAUAAUUUAUAAUUUCUUUCAAAAUAGGUUCGUUUGAGUAAUAGUGUUAAUUAUAAAACUCAAAUCACACCGUUUGCAAUGCUUGAAAACCAGUAUUCACAAAUAAAUGCUAUCCUUGAGCAUUAACUUUUUUCAUGGGACAUUUGCAAAAAUGGUAAAACAAGUUAUAACUUUAUUAUUUGUGAAAAUGAUCAAAUAAAGUCCAGCCCACCCAUAUAAAAGCCUGGAUUUGAUUAUUUUUGCUAUAUUUUCAAAAUCACAAACCUUAAAGACAUUUUUACAAAAUACCUAAACUAAUUUGCCACCCAAUAUAGUUUUCCUUUUUCAUUUUAGAAAAACCAGGUUUGGAAAUAAAGGCAGUAGGUUAUUUCUUUAAAAACUAGCCAUUAAAUAUCCCUGUAUUCUAAGUGGAUCUUAGCAUAAUGCAAGCUUUAGUGUUUUUUCGAGAAAGACUAUUAUGUUCAAACACAAUUCAAUUUUGCCUUUGUAACUUGGUUUUUGAGACCUUUGUGUCUUGUAUUUUCUCAGAGCUGAAAGAAAAGAAGAUGUCGGCAAUUCUACUACUGAAGAUGGGACUGUGGGCAUAUGUGAUGGCUUUAGUGAAACACAAACAGAGUCUCAGGUGUGUGCUAUGCAAUCCAGAAGGGGGAAUGCAACUAUACCCAACUCACAGGUUGAUGACGGUGAAUGGGAGCUGUAUCCACAAGUAACUGCUCUAUGCAUUGGAAAUGCUAAAUACUUUGGCGUGGUAUGAAAAUUGUGCAAAUGCCGAUCCUUCCAACAGGAGUCUAGAGGUAUAAUUCGUUUCUGUGGGAUUUUAUUUGAUCACUUUUUCCUUCCUUGUCUUCUUAACUAUGUGAUGCUUUUCUUUGCAGGUAGUAAUUCUUCAGGAUUUCAAGUGGUAUGACUUUAUUCUGAAUUUACACAAAAUAUACAAUGGGACAUAUUUGACGGUGAAAAACGUAACAUCAAGAAGGUUAGUCAUCUCUUUAAAAAUUAUAAUGUGCCUAGAUUUUCCAUUUUGUAUUUCAAUUUUUCUCUCUCCAACGGUCUGUUUUAUGUUCGAGACUUGUGGAAGCAGAGGUGAAGAAACUAUAAUUGAACUGGAUUUGCAUGGAGCAUUGUGAUUUUCAUUUCUGUCAAGUUUUUGCUUGAGAAAAACUUACACUCAAACUUAUAUGGAGAUGCUUUAUUUACCUAGCAGAGAAGCCCUAAGAAAAGUAAUAUUGUUAAACCUUCUUACUUCUGGCAUUCUGAUGUAUCCUCAACCAAAAUUAGAAAGUUAUAUGAUUAUCCUUUUUUCCUUGUUAAAUCUUUGUCAACGUUGAUGAACUCAAUUAAUCGAUAUCAAUGUAACUCAUCCAUGGUUGAACAUAUGAUUGAGCAUGAUUUCACAUUUCAGCUCCACCUCAUUAAAAUUCAUUGUUUGGCAAUGAUGCCCUUUUCUCAAUCAAAACUUCCUAUUUCUGCUUCUGAGCUUGUUCGUCUGCAAUGCAACUAUCAUCAGUUUAUUGUUUUGUUGUUCAAGCAGCGUUCGUUUGAUCGAAGUGGAAGAAGUUUCUUGCAGCGGCAGCAUAUAUGUUCAAUCUGAUGGGGAACACUUGGGGUUUCUCCAAGGAAAUUCCAUAUUCUACCAGCUGCCAUUGAAAUGAUAUGCUGAACAUGAGCUCCCUUUUGCGGAGAGAGAAAAACAAUAAGCAAAAGUUUCGUAGCCGUAGGACCCUUUUUUUCUAACGUGGACUCCUCUCUCAAAUUAGAGUAGACAAAGUAAGUUGUUAUUUUACUUUUUUUUGUAUCGAAACCUUCUUUAUACAAAAGUUUCAUACUUUCAUCCAUGGCCAAAUUAGAAAAUAAUGUUCACAAUUUCUUGUCUUGUUAAAUGAAAUUUCACAUUUUUUGAAAAUUUUGGAUUAUAAUUAUUUGAAAAAACAAAUUUUUUUUUGCUAACUUUACUGAAAAUUUUGUUGCUUUACGGGUUACCCUUUUAGUUAACGGUUCUUAUUAGACAAUUUUUUUACCUAAGUUUUUCUCUUUGAAAUUUGAUUUUUUUUAGUCUAAUUUUUUUUAAAAAAAUAUUUGUUUUAGUUCUAAUUUUUUUUUUUUUUUUUGCGUUUUAAAUGGGCUUUAUGACAAAUAAUUCAAAUGUUUCUUAAAUGGCCUUUUCUUCUCUAACUCCUUUCUACUUUUUCCCUCCUCCCCCCUUCUCUCUCUCUCAUUUCAAAUUUCUUCCCCCACUUCUUCUCUAACGGGCUUUAUGAAAAUAAGCUUGGCUUGUCUUAGAUAUACGAGAGAUAAAGUAAUGUUUUUAACUAAAAAUGCCUUAAACCAUCAAUGGUCUCAACUCCUCCCAAGACCUCUCAAAACCCUUACUCUCUUCUGGUCACAUGUUCCAUUAAAAAAAAAUCUAGUGAGAUAUUUCACAACCUUGAUCACAUAAGACUACAAUCGCUAUUUCAAACCAAACUAACUCUAAAGGGCUCGACAAAAGUUGGAAAUCAAGGUAGCAAACUGCCAUCUCUAAAGGAUGCGAUGUGAUCUAAUUCCUUAAAUGCUCCCGUGCUAUAAAUGCAUGGGUGCAGUCCAAACACAAAGGAAGAUUGUCCCUAUAUAUAAUCAUUUUUUAUAGGAAGCAUAUCUGAUAUAAUCUAUAAUGUUAACUCCCUAACGCAAAGUCCUUGCUUCUAAUUAUGCCACUCUAGAAACUUGACAUUCUUGGAAGUUUCUUCGUUUACCGUGAAGUGGAGUUGAUAGUAAUAAUAUUGAUGGUGUUGGUUGUGUAGAAACCAACCUAAACUGUAACGAACGAAACCACCUCAAAGUCAUGAAUCAUGGAUGUUGGAAUUUAAUCAGUUGCUUUCCUUGUUAUUAGUACAACUUCCCAUGCUAAUAAACCUUUUUGGUUGUUUGGAUGUGAUAAAUUGCAGUUUUAAGUAUCAAACUCCCCAUGAGUGUCGAGCAUUAUGAACUAGCUAGUGCAACAAUCUUGAUGACAUCAAUAUUAGAUCAAAGUUCUCUCUCUAUAUAUUUUUCUUUCUAUGUUUUGAUCUGAAUUUUGAAGUAUGUAGUAUGUGUUGGCUGAGGAUUCUAGAACUAACAGAUUUCUUUUUCUUUUUCUAGGUGCUGUUUAUGGUAUGAGGCCAUUAGAUUUAAGGUAAUACUAUCUCCCAUAAAUUCAACCAUGGCUCUCUAACUCUGUUAUGACAAUCUAAAGUUUCUCAUCAAAUUAUCAUGAAUAGUUAAUCUUUUUCAAGUUAACUAGUGUUUUAUCUAAGCAUCUUGAAACUAAUAUGAGAUUUCGGCACUGCCUUGCUAGGAAUUCUAUUAUCAUGGGAGAUUACCAAAGUUAUGUUUUAUUAGCAUGGGAUCGAAAUUCGCACUCAACCAACUUUGAAGUGAAAAAUAAAAUACUACAGAUUUUGUCCUUGUCGAAACAAAUUUCAUAAUCUUUUCUCAUAUUUUUAUAUUCUUCUUCAUGUCAUUCUAAAUGACUUUGAGGAGAGGAAAACUCAUAGAUUAUAGGAAAUUAUUCGUAUUCCUGAAUAUUUCUACGUUUGGUUCAAUUAUUCCAUUCUUAUUAUGUUAAGUUUUAGUUUUAAAAGCCCAAAGGUUUACAAAAAAGAAAAAAAAAAGACUUGAAACAGUUUUUGAUGAUGAUAGAUGAGAAUGAAUUAUUGACUAAACUUGUAUCUAUUGUUGCAGGUGUUAGGACUAUUGAAAAUUAGAUAUAUUGGAUAAAAGACAACACUUGGAAGUACUGCCAUAUUUGGCCUUUUCUUAGGGGCUGGGAGUUUGAUACAUUGUGGAAAGUCAUAUUAAAUCACAAGGUCCUGUAUUACAAGUUAUGUUUAUGUGAUUAUUACCUUAAUCUUACUUUUAGCCAGCAAACAAGAACAUUUAUUGAAGUCGUGGAUCAUUGAUGCACAACUAGGUUCGACAUUAUGUUUGGCUUGGCGUGCAUUCCAUUGAUACACUUCGUCUCGUGCAUUUUAUGAAUACUUUAUGCAUUCAUCAAUAGUAGGUAUCUUGAAAUCAUUAGAGCAAUAAACAUGUUGCAACCAGAAUUUGACCGCUUAUGUUAUGAUGCGAGCUAAAUUAUUUGUACAGGAUGGCCAAAUUCUUUUUAUUACCUUUCUAUGUAUAGUACCCGUCGUGUAUUUAAAUUCCAGAAAUGAGAAACAAGAGUUUCACGGAGAAAAUGAAUGCACUGGGACAUAGAAAAUGAAAAGCCAACCAAAGGAGUCCAAACUACUACAAGAGAUAAUUAGGCCAAAUAGACUAGUACAGAACGUGUUAGUGGUCGAGUCCCUCACAAAGGUGUUAUAUUAAUGACCUCUCAAAAUCUCUCUAAAAAGUCUAUUGUCUCUAUGUCACGUUUGACCUUGGAUUGGAGACCACCAAGGAUUGAACCUUUUAGAGACCCUCAAUCUCUCAUACCUCUAUCAUGUGGCUAUUGAAACCUUUAAUGGUCUUUAGAAAAUGUAUUUUUGUUGAUUAGGGAGGAUCGCUGUAAGGACUUUUUUUCUUUUUCCUCCCUAAUUUGGGAUAAUGUUGUUCUCUUUAACUCUUUUUACUCCAUUUGUUUCAUUUGAUUUUUCAAAUAUUGGUACAAGUUGGAUUUUGUUUCUCCCUUAUUAAACAUAAUUGAUUUUUUUUUCUUCAAUUCUUGACCUAUACCUUUCUGGUUGCUUAAGCUCAUAUGUAAGUUUGUUUUUUGUUGUAUGAUUGAGUUUUUCUUUUACUGUACUUUUGAUGUCUAUGCCAAUGAGCGUUCAAUUCUACUUGUACCAUGAUUUGCAGGGUUGACAUGCAAAAAUUUCUUAAAUGCUAAGCAACCCCUCACAGUGAGUGAAAGAGUUGAGAGUGAAGGUGAAAAUACAUCUUUCACUUCUAAAUCAAGUACUUCGAUAUCCAUGUUUUUUUUUUUAUAGAAAAACCAACUCAAAAUUUGACAACUAAAAUUUUGGAAUUUUGACUAAUUCCUACAAACACAAUAUUCUUAUGCUUAAAAGAUCAACAAAACAUAGUAAAAAAAUGGAAGAAAGUAAGUUUAAUUUUUUUAAAAAAAGAAAUUAAAAUAAUUACUAAGCAGAUGAAAUCUUACCUUUCAAAAACAUAAUUAAGAGAGCUUACCUUUCAAUAUCAUGGUAAAAGAUAUAUGAAUGGAUGUGUUAUUAUUAUACUUUAGUCUCUUGAUGGUAUAAUUUAGUCAAUAAUUUGAUGUAGAAAAUUGAUAGUAAAUAGAAAUUUGUAGAAAUAGAGAAAAAAGAACAUAUUGUCUUUAACUAUAACUAUCCCACAAAGAAACACAGAAACAAGGUUUAUGAAGAAAACAAAAAUUCCACUUUAAUCACAUUUAUCCAUUUUUUUUACAAUAAACUCCAUUUUAGACUUUUGGCAGAUCCCCACACCUUCACCACAACAUUACAAAUUAGUAAUAAUAAUAAUAGAGAAAGAAAGAAAAAGCUAAAUUUUUUAUAAAAAAAAUUCUACCCAACCAAAACAUGCAAGAAGUUGGUUAUAUAAAGAGAGUGAUUUUAGAGGAAAGCUCCCAAGUACAAAAGACCACUGAAAAGAGUGGCUCUCAAUUUAUUUUGUUUUAAUUUAUGAAGUCGAAAGCUCAAAUAUGUGCUUAGUGAAAUAUAAAUAUAUAAAGUUUCAUAUAACACUUGUAAUUAAACUUAGGACAAUACAAACCAAACCAAGAUAACAAGUUCACAAAAUAAAAGUAGAAAGUCAUCAAAUCGACAACUGGUCCAACAUUAUCUUUUAAGAGAACCUUGCAAUACUCCAAUUUAAGUUUUACCUCUAUGGCAUCCACCCUAUGGAAUAUGAUUUGCAUAAGCUUUACCUUGUCUCGAUUCCAUAGUUCAGGGAUAUCUUGCAGUUCUUUCACGACUUUAGCACGCAAUUCAACCUCUGUUACACACUUUUCUUUAAGUCAAUUUGCAAUUGCUUUUAAUUGUCAUUUCUAACUUCCAUUGCAUUACUUAUCACAUCUAUCCCUUCAUAUUGUUGGCCACUCUUUUUUCUCUUACUUUCACUUCAAUAAUUUCUUCUUUCAUCUGAUCAACCUGCACGUAUUUCUAACAUCUCAUCUGGUGACAUAUCAAGUCAUUGGCUAUACAUUGUCGGGAUGUCUUGAUCAUGUGAAUCACCCAAGGGAACACCAUCAUUAAAAUUGUAAUGCACAUUACAUCCCACAUCAGCAAAGGUCUCUGAACAUGCUCAUGUUGCCCGAUCUUUGCCGAAGACAUAGGACAGAUCAUCAUAAUGUGGAAAUGAUUUGUGUAGAAGGCUUUUGGCUCCAGGAUGACUCUAUACAAACAUAAUUCAGACAUAUUAGAUGAUGAUUGGGAUUAUAAAAGUACAUAAAAUUGUACUGUGAAAUUAAUACCUUGACCCAACUAUCAAACAACUCUCGCUCUACAACGAUGCAUUGAUACUCUUCGUUCCAUCCAAAGCUACACUUUAGAAAAUGUGCAAAACUUUAUUCCAAACUUUAUUCCAUGUACACUUUAGAAAAUUUGACUUUGCAAUUUCAUUACAAAUUAUUUGUUCCGCAUAUCAACUAUGUAGAAUUAAGUUAGGAAAUAAUUUUCAAACACACAUGAUUUAGUAUUGCACAAUUUCCGUGGAUAAUAAUAAGUUACAAAUAAUAAAUGCGAAAUCAUUCCAGGAAAGUAAUGAAUUACAAAUAUGGUCGUUAGAAAAAAAAAUAUUAAAAAUAAUUUGUAAUGCAUUUUAGGGGGUGUUUUUCAAAUAUUUGAAAAUGAGAAUAACACUUUCAAUUCAAUAAUUUACUUUCAAAUUUGAACAAUUAGACUAUGUGAUAAAUUUAAAAUUAAUUUAAGUAUUUGAACUAAAAUUGUCAUUUGAAAGUAUAACACACAAACUAUUUUUUUCAACGAUGAUUAAUUACAAAAAAAAAAUUAAUUAGAAAACUUUACUACACAUUUUUAUCACACAUUAUAGAGUCUACCUUUUUAAAAGGGUAAUUCAUAGGUUUAGGCAAUGUAAUUCUUUAGAUCAACCACACAUAAACUUACUUUGAUUACACAAACUAUUCUAAUCUUGGGCUAUUAUAAUUUGGUAUAAAAACCAUGAAUAACACACAAACUAUAGAGUGUUUAAGAAGUUUGGCUAAAUUAGAUUAUAUUACUGCUAAAUUUAUAAAUUUACUAAUAAAUUCCCAUAGCAAUAUUAUUAUAAGCAAAUGGCCAAGUAAAAUAAACAUAUUUUUUCUUGUUUGUCGUCUUGCGAUCUGUCUUUGAUGUGUAAGGUCAUCAGUUGUCACCACAUAAUGGAUCCACAAUAACUAGUUAUGAUACUUACCGUAUUUACAACUUCCAAACAUGAGUUACUUAUGACACUUUAAUUAUUAUUGGAUGAUCAUAAGAUGAUAGAACAUACAUCAUUUGAUAGUAGACAAUUAUCAUAUUUUCGACUAAUCCAUGAGUAUGAUCUUUCCUGUUGUCAAAGUACAAUAAUGAAUAGAAUAUGUUUUGCCAUUUUAUGCCAUUUACUUAGGACGACUGCUAGAUUAGUUGGAACAUAAGUUAUAGAUGUAGAAGAGAUGAUUGUCAUGUUCUUGCAUAUAUUAGCUAAUGACUUGAAAAAUCUAAUAAUACAAAGGGAAUUUGUACGGUCUGGUGAGACUAUUUCUUUUGAAUUUUCUGAUGGCAUUACUGCUUCCGUCCCCUGUUCGUACAUCAAGUUUGUCGAAUAUUCGUUACUGCCUUAGUAUAAAGGUAACCAAAACAAAAAAUUGAGAUCAUUGAACUUUUAAAAAUUGAGAAGAAUAGAAAAAAGAACAUCAUAUUCCAAACUUGUACAGGUGAAGGAGUAUCACAUAAGGGAUGAGUUUGAAGUAGGGAUUGUUGUGAGCAUCUUUGAAAGUACAUCCAAACAACAACAAAUGGAAAAUGGUUGAAGCCAAAUUGCUACAAAUAGAAGGACAAUUAGAGGUUUAAAUGCGAUGUGGAAGUAGGAAUUCCACACCCUUUAAAAUAAUUUCCAAUUUGAAUAAUUGGUGCAAAUCUAAUUAGUGUGUCUGAUUGUCAAUUCUAUCUAUACUUAGAUAUAUGUAUAUAUAGCUGAAACACUUACUAAUAUAAUAUCGAAUAUAUCUAACCUCCUCCCUAGAAUGUUCACCGAAGUUGGGCAUCGUUUUUUUUUUUUUUACAAGCGGCAUCAUUAGUAGUUGAUGUAUCAAAUUUGAGAAUAUAUGCAAUUAAAUAUUGUGAUAUCAAGGAAGAAAUGUCCAAAAGAGAAAAGCCCAACUGAAGAAGCAUGUAAUAUUUUUUUUCCACGUUUACUAACAAUCUCCUCAAAACAUUCCUAACUUAAUUAUUACAUGUGCAAUAUCUUGGCUUCACAUGAACCUUGUCCUUUCCUCAAGGUUGUACCAUGAAAAUUGGGGGCAAAAAUCAUCUAUGUUCGUUCAUAUGGUUUCAUGCUCCAAGAGCCCUUGCAACUUACCAAUAGUUCUUUGGUGUCGGAUUGGGGGUAUCCGACUAUGUUGGCUGGUUUUGCUAUCUAUUCAAAAUAUUUAGUUAGGAUUUUGUUUCUUUAGGGGAUGAUUUUGAAACAAAUGACACCAACAACAUCAAAUAGGGGCAAACACAAUUAGAUCAAGAAAAUAGCCUCAUAGGAAAGAGCUUUACUGUCAAGAUUCAAACCAAUGUACCACUUAAAAGGUGGAGCCUAGAAAAAUAACUAAUUGUAUUUAUUAGAUAAAAACUUAUGGGGUAAAAAUUAGAUCAAUUAUAUCUAUAAAUAUAUUAUUAUAGCUUCAUAGAACGAGAGUCAUUCUCCACUUGUGAUCUCUUCACUUGUUGCAUUUAAUUAUUUUUUGGCUUGAGCUCGUGAAUUCAGUCCUUGCUUCCAAUCUUUUUAGACUUAUUUGACAACUAAUCACUUUCUGCAUUUUCAAAUUUAAAGAAAAUUUAUAAAAUUUGGAUUGAACUUCAUAAACUAUGGUUGGAUUUGGAACUCAUUGAUUGACUUCAACGUUUAAGAGUCAUAAAAGACACAACUUACUUUCUCACCUGUCACCACUAAGCCUACGACAACAUCUUUUUAUAAGAUAUUCAGUUAAUCUUUAGAUUGUUUACCGAAUAAUCGUCUAUUGUUUUGUAAUUGAUCCCACCAAGCGCUUGCGCCACCUUGAAGUUUGAGAGCAACUAAUCGGACCUUCUUGUGUUCGGGUGUAUUGGCAUAGUCGAAAAAAAUUUCUACGUUCUUGAUCCAAUCAAGAAACUUCUCCACGUCCAUUCGACCAUUGAAGGUAGGGAGAUCCACUUUCAUACGUAUUUCUUGAUCUUCUUGAAAGUAUGGUCGAAGUCCAAGCCUUUGUUGAGGUUCUUGAUGAAUGUUCAGCAAGUUGUCUUCAUCGGAAGAGUCAGAAUCGUUUAAGAAAUGUCCAGGUACGUUGUUUCCAUACAAUCGAUUAUUGUGGAUGUGAAUAGAUUGAUUUCUUAGUAGUUCUUGGUUUACAGCAGGGUUUCUUGGUCUUUCUUGUCUUUCUUGGUUUGCUGCAAUUGGGUUUCUUGAUCUUUCUUGUCUUUCUUGGUUUGCUGCAAUUGGGUUUCUUGGGGGCUGAAUUGCUUCUUCUAAACGUUGGACAUGAAAUCGGGUAAAAAGGUUUGUUAAUUCUACUAACGAUUGUUGUAUAUCUGACUGCCCUUUUCGAAGUUCUUCAACAACUUGUUCUACCAACUGCAAGCGUUGGUUGAAGGAGGCUUCCGCGUCCAUGGAUAAGAGUGGUAGGAUCCAAGUUUUUUGAGGGAAGAGUGAGCUAGGAUCACGCUCCGAUACCAAUUGAUGCAGUAAUUGCAAAGCUAGAAACCUUUAUGUAUAAUGCCUCUUUUUUUUUUAUGUCUUAUUAAUGAAAAUGAGAAGCCUUUUUAUAGGCUGGAGAUUACAAGAGUUGUUAAACUAACUUGGGGUUGAGUUAGUUUAACUUGGAGUUGAGUUAGUUAUAACUAACUCAAGAUACAAAAUUGGUAAUUCAAAUAACUAAUCCUAAACUAUAAAAAUGGUAAUUCAAACCCCUCCUCUAGGAUAAAACUCAAGAAACAUCAAGAAGGGAGAUGUUCUACAUCAAAGUGUAGAGAACGAUUCAGAAUCCUUGGUGAAAGGAAUGAAUGAUAACUAAUGUGUGUUUAUGUGAAAUUGUUAUGUUAUGAGUAUGUUAAGGAUAAAGAAAGGUUUAUGCGAGAUAAAAUUAUUUGAUGCUGUUUAUGCGAAAUAAUGUUUAUGAAAAGGUAUUGCGAAAAGGAUUUCAUAAAACCUUAGUCUUUUAGACAUUCUUUCAAAAAUUCAUCUUCCAAGAUGAGGUGUUUAGGCCAAGUAGAGAAGAAGGCUGAAGGAUUUGCAGCGAGAUGACCAGACGUUUUGAAAAUAGUUAAGCAUUGGUUGUUUGGUCAAAGUGUUGUAAUUAUGUAUCAAACACAUGUUAUUAAUAAACAUCUUGGUAGGUAUUUAUUAUACUUGCUGUUUAGGUUGACCACCGUUGCGUUUUGAGUUUUGUUAAUAGUAUAAAAGGAGUUGAGAAUAAUAUUUUGCGAUAAGAAAAUUUCAAACUUGUAACAAACUCACAUCCUAUUCCUAAUACUUUGACAUUUUCGUUGCAGUACGGUUUGGGAUGUGACAUGUACACAUGACUGCCUAGCUUAAGUCAUCUCGUUGAGUAAAGCCAUCUCGCCUAAGCUCAAAUGGCCACUCAUGACAACUCUUUAUAUAGAGGUUUUCUUGCCUACACCUACAAAUCUUCAUGCUUGGCGCCUUGACAUGUUCUUGGAGGUUCUUACCUUACUACUUGGCCACAUAAUUGAAUCCUUAGAGAUUCUUUUGCCUUUCCUUUGGCCGCCUAUUAUGUCCAUCUUGCCUAGCGUUCCUUGUGUGCUUAGAGGUUACCUUGGCAACACCACACCUCUCAGCCACACACACACACACACACAACCUUGGCCAUCCAAUACCUUUCUUUAGAGGUUCUCAUGCUUUUCUUAGUCGCCUAGAAGUCUUGCACGCCUACUCUCACAUUUAGCCAUAUGUUGUACUUUGUUUUCCACCUUGACUUUUAAUGACACACAAACCAACUUUCCAAGGAAUUCCCUUUCAUUUUCCUAUUAACUCAUAUUCUCUUUUUUUUUAUCAAGUCCUUGCUAGAGAAAGUGGACUUUGAGUUGUUGGACUUUAGUAUUGCAUGGACAUUCAAUUUUGAAUGAAAAAUCCUUAUAAAUGGGGCAUUUGAACUAAUUUGAUGGGUUAACUAUUGAAUUUGGGCUUUCACACCAAAUGGAAUUUCUUUUUCUUAUUUACUUUUUUAAAACAAAGAAAAUUAACCACGCCCAUUUUUUUUCAUCUAUUUCUCUCGUCCGGUUCUUUCAUCCAAUGGGUCCCACAACUCGAUUAUGAGUCUAGAGGAUACUAAGUCAAACUUAGUGGUUGUUUGAAUAAAAUGCAGCUUCGAAUGUAAGUAUUCUAAAAACCUUUUUUUUGGUUUAGUCUUGUUAAUUAAGCCCAAUUAGGGUAGAAUUUCGAUUCUUUUUCUGUUGUGCAUGUCUUAGUUCUAUCAGUAACUCCCUUCAGGGUGAUAGCUCUCAUCAGCAGACUUUCCAUUGUUGGUUUCUUCCUGAGUCAUCACUGUAUUGUUGUUUUCCACAAUAGGUAGGGUGAGUUGCAGUUUUACAUGAAACGCAUUGCUCAACCCACACUCUUUUCUCACUAGUUCCUUAUUCUCAAUCUUCAACGCAAAUUUCAUCAUCUGGGCCAACCCAAUCGGUUCCACGGUUUCCACUUCCAUUUUUAUUCAUGGGCUAAGCCCAUUCAUCAAAGUCUCCUCUAACACUACCGUUUGAAGAAAUUCUACCAGAGCUAAAUAGCGAUCAAAUCGGUUACGGUAUCCUUCUACAUUCGUUUUCUGUUUGAUUGAGAAAAAUCUUCCAACCAAAGUUCCUUCUCGAAUUGAUCGAAACUGUACAAGCAUUCGUUCUUUCAGGGCUGCCCAAUUCUUAAAAACUUCCAACUCUUCUUGUGCUUGGUACCAAUCCAAUGCCAGAUCAUCAAAACUAAUAACGCCUGUGGUUAAUUUCUCUGAAUCGGUAAGAUCAUGUAUCUUAAAGAAGCGAUAGGCUCUAAAUGUGAGACCCAUUUCUAAUUUGAGUAAUGAAGUAAAAUUUGGCUAGGUAUUAAGAACUUGGCAUUUGAAUAAAUCCAUGAAAAGGAUUAAGUGAUAAAAAAUUUUAUGGUUAAGUAUACGUUAUUGCGAUUCAGUGGGUAGUUCGCGAAGGAAGUUGUGCGACUCAUUUCUAAUUCGAGUAAGGAAGUAAAAUUCGGCUAAGAAUUAAGAAGUUGGUGUUCGAAUAAAUCCAUGGAAAGAUUAAGUGAUAUGAUCUUUUACGGUUAAGUAUACUUUUUUGCGAUAAGUGGGUAGUUCGCGAAAGAAGUUGUGCGAUAAGAAGCGAAAAAGUCUUUGCGUAAGUUAAGAAAUGAAAGUUUUGAGUGUUAGACUAGGAGUUUUGGGUGGUCUUCGUGAGAAGAACCAAGUGUUUCGUGGAGAAGAAGUCUACGAGGAAGCCUUGGAGUUUAAGUUCACGAUAAGAGUUCUAUGCGAGUAAAAGUUGGUUAGUUCACGUGGAACGUUUCUUAUAAUAAAAAUAUAAUCAAGAGAUAAGGUUAUUCACGAGAAAUGUUAAGUGGUUGAAUUUAUUCACGGUUUGGGUUAGGCGGGAAGCAAGGUCUGUAAAGAAAAUGUCAAAUCUGAUUUGACAUGGGUUAACAUGUAAGAUAAAGGAUUUGAGCAUGACUAGGUUAAAUAUUAAGGAUUUGCAUGACUAAGUUAGUAUAAGGGAUCUAUAAAAUAAGAGAAUUUAGGUAACUAAGGAGGGGAUGACGAGAGUUUUGUUGAAAUGUUAAAGUGUUGUUGGUUUAGCCAUGCAAAAAGAUGGUUGUGAGAAGGACUUCUUUAGUAAAGUUUGGUGAGUGCUUUUCAGUCAAAAGAAUUUAUGUUAAGAAACUUUAUUACGAUUUCUCUUUACUCAUUUGAAAGAAGAAUUCAUAUAGGAAUGUUUCAGAAAGAUUUCUAUGAAAAGUUAUGUUUUCAAGCAUUAUUUAUAAUGUUAAAGCUUGAUUUGAUGACUAUGAUUUCAAUAUUAUGUUUCUUUGAGAUGAUGCUAACUUUUAUGUGCACAUAAAGAGUGAAGGCCACUAUGGAGUGUACGAACUACAUGGUAAUAAGAAGCUGACUUAUGCAUUGAAAUGAGCGUAUAAAGCUUAGCGGUAUGAGCAACAAAGACGAAUUUGUAUGUUCUCAGAUGUUGUUGAUACAGUAGUCUAAACGUGAGGUAAUGAGACCAAGCGUAGAGAACGAUUCGGGAUCCUUGACAAAAUGAAAUGAUUUUUUAAGCAUAAAGAAAGGUUUAUGCGAAAUGAAAUAAUUUUUCGGUAUAUUUAAAUGAUUUGAUAUUAUUUUUACAAAAUGAUUAUGAAAAGGUAUUUAUUGUGAAAGGUUUUCAUAAAACCUUAAAGGAUUUUUAAAAAAAAGUGGACCAUUCAACUUAGUUCCCAUCCACUAUCCUUUUCUCCAACAUGAAACUUUAUCUUAGUAAAACUUCUUGAUCCACUAUUUUACAAAAAUAUUCAAAACAAUACCAUACUACACCAAAUGUGAUAUUUUGGUAACACUUAAAAUGGUCAGAAAUACCAUUUUCCUGACUUUUUUUUCGUCGAUCAUUAAAGAAAAAGUAUAGAUGAUGUUUCACAAAAACUUCCAAACCAUUGUGUUAGUUAUCGUUUUGGAUGAGGGUUGGGGUAGAGCAUCAAUACUCAAAGGUUGUUAAGAAUUAAGAACUAAGACUUGAAGACGAAACCGCCUGCCUGGUUGACAACAACACCAUCCCACUAGAGUGCACAAUGAUGAUUUAUUGCAUUAAGAAGAAGAUGGUAGUUAACCUUAGUGCCAUAAUAAGAACCUCAAUCCUCCCUUUGAUGAAAGCACCUAAAGGUGUCAUGCCUUUCCCCUCGACCACAUUGAAGCUCUCUGUCUAACACUACAAGAAACGAGGGCUCUCUCGAUGCAUAAAAUCAUUGAGAGAUAUAUAAAAAGCGUCAGAAAAGGCUUUUCUGACGCAUAAAUAUACGUCGGAACACAAGUCAGGAAAAAUUUAUCGGGAGUGCGUCGAGAGUUUCUAGAGUUAGUAGAUAGGUUGUUGAGGAAAAAUUUAUUGUGAUGGUCAUGGAGGUGCUUUCUCGCAUGUUGAAUAGCCCGCCUCAAAAUUUUCAAUUCCACCAGUUUUGUGAGAAGGUCAGAUUAACUCAUCUUACUUUUGCAGAUGACCUGAUGAUCUUUUGUGCUGCUGAUAAUCAUUCUAUGAGUUUCAUAAAAGAGACUAUUAAGAGGUUUGGUGAGCUUUCGAGACUGUUUGCUAAUCUUGCUAAAAGCUCAAUUUUUCUUGUGGGGGUUAAUAGUUUGGAAGCUUCUCGGCUUGCUGCUAACAUGGAUUUUUCCAUUGGUCAUCUCCAUGUUCGUUAUCUUGGGCUUCCUCUCCUCUCUGGAAGAUUUCGGAGCUCCCCUUAUUCAGCGUAUUACGAGUCGUAUUCGGUCUUGGUCUGCUAGAGUGUUAUCUUUUGCAGGUAGACUUCAGCUUGUUCGCUCAGUCCUUAGGAGCCUUCAGGUUUAUUGGGCUAGUGUGUUCAUGCUUCCUAUGAAAGUCCACAGAGACGUUGAUAAGAGCUUGAGGGCUUAUCUGUGGAGAGGUAAGGAGGAGGGAAGAGGUGGUGCUAAAGUUGUCUGGGAUGAGGUUUGUCUUCCUUUUGAUGAAGGAGGUCUUGCUAUUCGCGAUGGAUCUUCUUGGAAUAUAGCAAGCACGUUGAAGAUAUUGUGGUUGCUACUUGUUAAAUCUGGUAGUUGUGGGUUGCUUGGGUGGAAUCAUAUAUCCUUAAAGGGAGAUCGCUGUGGGAGAUCGAUGCUGGGGUGGGUCGAUCUUAGUACUUUAGGGCAAUCUUGCAUAAGUGGGAUAUCCUUAAAGCUCAUGUUAAGAUGGAGGUGGGCAAUGGAAGGAAGUGUAGAGUGUGGUUGGAUCCAUGGAUUCAGGGUGGGCCGAUUAUCCAGCAGUUUGGGGAGAGGGUGAACUAUGAUGCGGGUAGUCGGCGGGAUGCGUGUUGGAAUUUUUUGUCCUAAAACUCGUAGUUUGUAAUCAUAUUCUGUUUCAAUAAAGUUGUUAUUGAGAAAUUAAAUAUUAUAAUCCUAAAUCCAAUAAAUCAAGUUCCAAGGCUAUUUUUUGAAUAAACUUGAACUUUAUGUGUAAACAUAAACGUGGAUCAAGUUCGAGUAUAUAUAGCCUAAAUAGUCUAUAGUAUAUGAAUUAAGGUUGGGCGCCUUAUUUAGAGAAACUAUGGAUGCGGCCCACUUUGUAGUACAAACGAGGUGAUCCUGAAUCGUUCAUGUAGAGACAUGAAAGUGGAGGCAUCCUAUGUAAAGUGUUUACAUAAGACUGAACCAUGAAUUAGUCUUUUUUUUAAGUUAUAACACUGUUUACUGUUUAAAACUGAUUAUCUCGAUUAUUGAUGACCUAGGUAACUUAAUCUUAAUCCUGAGUUAACUAUGAACUCCUGUUCACACGAGAUUAUCCUCAGAUCUGCAUAGGUGAGGGCAGCCCAUCAGCGUUGGCCCAAUAAGCCUCCCAUUUCAGGGGUAAGAUCGGGUGGAUAGUUGAGAGCAUAGGGUACAAGGUGGAAUUCACUCCUGCCCGCUUUAGGGUUAGUAGAUAGGUUGUUCUCUUAAGCACUGAAUCCAAGUCUUGAACAAGGGGCCCACCCUCUCAUUGGCCCGAGAGGGAUUAAGUUUAUAGGUUGAACCUUAAACCAAUUGUUCAAUAGUGGAUUAGUGGGACUUAAGGAGCAAGAUGUAAUCUUGGGGGUAAAACGGUAUUUUGACCCAGCCAAGGUUACGAGCAACCUGUGAAGGAUUAACUUACUGAUUAUGGUUUUAUCAAAUGGACACAAAUAUAUCUAUAGUGAGGGGAGUGUAACUACGAGACUUUAGUGGAAUGACCCGUUAGUUAACGAAUGUUGAUUAACUCGGUCUAAAAGAGUUUAGCUAGUUAAUCUUGAAUCGUUGGAGUCCAUGAUCUAUAGGUUCAUUAGGUUCCCCUGCUAGCUCAUAUGGAUUAAACUUAGAACAGUGUGAUGAAAUAAGUCGAAUUGUUCGAAUUGGGAGAAGAAAGAGAAACCGACAAAUAUAGUGAUAUAGUCGUCGGUCUUCUAAUUAGAAAUAGAGCUUUAUGUUUUACAUACUAUAAGUAUGAAUCCGGAUUCAUACUAAGAAGCUCGGAAUUGAUGGAAUUGGUCAAAAAUAGUAAAAAGUCAAAAUGUUGACUUUUGACUUUGAAAAGUCAAACUUUGACCGGCCUUAUAUUCAAAUGUGAUUUGAAUUUUGGAAAAAUGAAUGCGGAUUCAUGCUCGGGAGGUUGGAAUUAGUCAAGACGGACAAAAUGGUAAAAAGUCAAAAUAUUGACUUUUGACUAAGAAAAGUCAAAGUAUGACUUUUGACUUGAAAUAUCUAAUGACCAUUUUACCCUUGGACUAAGUUAGUGGAAAAAUCCAACAUUUUGUUGGAUAAUCCCACUAACUCUUAGUGGGAUAUGUGGCUAUAUGAGAUGUAGACACCUAGCCCACUAAGUUCCACUAAUAGUUAGUGGAACAUUAGGUGUUGAGAUUUGGCAAAUUAAUUACAUGCAUUUUUGCAUGUAAUUAGGUUAUAAAUAGGGGAAUUUUCAAAUGGUUGAAGACUUUUGCCUUUUUUAUUAUCCUCCAACAUCUCAACAAAAGAAAAAAAUUCUCUACCAUCCAAUCCCAUUUUAUCUCCAUUUCUUUCUACACCAAAUUGGGUCCCACAACCCAGUUCUUUGUCCAAGAGGAUAGUAGUUGAGUACUAGUGGUGGUCUCGGUUUGAAUUGACAAGAAGGUAUCAAAGUUUUUUGAAAGCUUCAAAGGCAAUAUUUCCUAAAACCCUAACUUGAUUAGUUUAGGGUUACAUGUUAAUUGUGGCAAUUAGGGUAGAAAUUCGAUUCCUUUUUCCGCUGUGCAUGUCUUAGUUCUAUCAAUGCGAGGCUGGUGGAUUUCAUGGGUCAGGAUGGUGAUUGGAGGUGGCCGUUUGUUUCUUUGGAUUUGAUGGACAUUUGGGAUAGGAUUCAGGGAGUGAGGCCGAGUCCGAGUGUUGAGGAUAGGUGGGUUUGGGUGCUGGGGAGUCAUGAUAGUUUUUCGGUCGCCAGUGCGUGGGAGACUAUUCGUCCUCAUAAUAGUAGGGUUGGCUGGUCGAGUUUACUAUGGGGUGGGGAAAUAUUCCUAAGCACUCCUUCUGUGCUUGGUUGGCCAUCAGGGAUAGGUUGGGUACUAGAGAUAGGUUAAGUCGGUGGGAUAGGUCGAUUCCUUUAUCGUGUUUGCUUUGUGGAGGGAACUAUGAGUCUCGUGAUCAUUUGUUUUUUUCUUGUCAUUUUGGGUGGGAGAUUUGGUCGAGGAUCCUUUUGCUUAUGUCAUCUUCUCAAAGAAUUGGUUAUUGGGGGUUGAGUUAUCUUGGAUUUGUAAUCAGGGUAUUGGGAAGAGUGUGAGGAGAAAACUGUGGCACCUUCUCUGGUGUGCUACAAUUUAUUUCAUUUGGCAGGAGCGAAAUCAUCGUCUUCAUGGAGGUGCUGUUCGAGAGCCUAUGGUUGUAUUCCAGCUGAUUCGGUCGUGUAUUAAAGUGUGUGCUGCUUCUUGGUCCGAUGGUGUUCAUGGUCUUAUUUAAUGUUCUUUUCGUUUACUUGUCCCCGGGCUGUGGGGUUUCUCUUCUCUUUAUUAUCUCUGUUGUCUUUCUCUCUUCUUCUUGUCCUUUUAAUGUUUGGAACACUAGUUGGUUUCUUUUGGUUUUAGUUCUUGUCCCCGAGAUGUGGGGUUGUUUUGGGUACUUAUGGGUUGUUUUGUCUAACUACUUGUUCUGUGAGUGUUGUUCGCUCUUGUGCCUUGACCUCAGGCUGUGAGGUCCACCUUGUUGUUGUAUAAUAUUAUCAUUACCUUUAAAAAAAAAAAAUCAAACUCAAUGCUAAGUUUGACUGCUUCCUUCGAAGUGACAACAAGCCUCGUUUUCGCCCUACUGUGGAUCGAGGAGGAUUCCUCCUCUUUUCAAAGCCCUCAAUCAAACUUGACGUUAUGUUUAAAACACUAAAAAUAGAUGGUCGAGUUUUGGUUAGGCCAAAAGCGAUGUUUUCCCCCAAAAGCUCUAAUAGCUAGGGAACUCAACAUGUUCUACUUAACCUAACCGACUUGACUCUGUAUUUUUUAUGAGCUUUUUUAAUGCAUAUUGCAUGUGUUUUUUUUUUUAUAAUUGUUGAUUGUAAAGUGGUCUGCAUUUACGAGCCUCUUUUCUUUCUUUGUUAUGAAAUGCGGUAACUAGGCGUUGCUAGAACCGAUGGGGUAACAUUUCUAUGGUUCUACACUUAGUUUCUAAGUGUGAUUGCUCACCUCUAAUUUUCAAAACACUUAAUUUCUAAGCACAUACAAUGUUCACCUAGAAAAAAAUGAAAAUUGUUGUAGUUAAGAUCAAAACUAAAUAGUUAUGAAAUAAGACAUAAGAGAUUCGAUUUUAACAACCUUCCCGUUGUACUUGGGAUCCACUCUGGCUUUGUGCUGGAAAAUUGGUUUAGAGCUGAUCAUAAGCUUUCAGUUGCUCUUCUGUAACCUUUAGAUACUCUUCAAAGCUAUAAGCUUUGCUUCUUGACAAAGAAUCUUCUACUAUUAAUACAUAAGAAAAUUCUAUUUCAUAAACCCUGUAUCAUAAUUGAGGCUGUAGAAUGAUUAUUCUAUAACCCUACCGAUAGUUUCAUUCUUAACAUUCAUAGACACGAUGCAUGGCAGCUAUCCAAUUCUAUUUCAUGUUCUCGAGAAUGGCUCGGUUUAACAAUAAUGUUAAUUUUUGUUUUCUAUUUUAAAAUAAUAACGCUGCUUACUAAUCUUUUUUUUUUCCAUUUGGCAUUCUACUUUUUCUACUCAGCUUUCUUUCCCUAGUGAUAACAAAUAAUACGGGUGAUAAAAAACUUAAUCACUCACUUGGUUCAGCCACCGAAAGCCCUUCUGCUUUAGAAAUAGAAGAUGGGUUUGAGUAGGUAGAUUUACUUGCAUUGUAUGUGCUGUUCAUUGAACUCUCAAUUUCAUUGAGACCAAUUUCUCACUCAAACAUGGUCUUGCAUUCUCUAGAAACGUCCUACAAACAAAAAUGAAGAACAAAAAACUACAAUAAGGUCUAUGAAAAAGUUAUAAAGGAAAAUCUCAAAAACUGAUAUGUAAGUCAUAACAACCUUAAGUUCUCUUAUCGUGGGUUAAAAUGCACGUAAGGUUUUUCCAAGAGUCCGAGCAACCAGCAUGUAAAUAUGAGGAAGUUAAGUCAACUAAAUUUGUUUCUAUAAAUUUACUCGUAUUAACAUUAUCAUUGUUAUAGACUUGACAACUUCAAAUUUAUCAAUAUAAAAUAUGCUUUAACAAAACGUACCUUGAGGUUCCUCCAACCUUAUUAAAAAAGAAAAUAAUCCAACAAUUUAACAAAUUUAUAGUGCAUAUUAUGUAUAUCAAUUGAUCACAACAAAAUAAGAUCGAACAAAUACCCAUGAGUAAUAUUUAGCCACCAAAUGAAUAAUGAUGAAAACCUGAAAACAAAACCGAGAAAAAAAAAGGAAACAAUUCAUCAACAAAACAAAUUUAGGGGACUAAAAAAUUGCUUACCUUAUUACACACUUCAAAAUAUUAAGAAAAGUGGAGGGAAAAAACCAACCAAUAAUCAAAAAAUAAACUUCAACACAAAUAGCCAUAAAUUUUCUUCUUUAAAGGUAUCACAAAUAAGUCCAUCAGUAAUAACAAAAUAAAAAAGGGCAAUGUGCAAUUGAAUUCUGCAGUCGUAAAGCUAUGCUAAAGGCAGUAUGAAAUCAAACUUGAGCACUAACAAGAAAAUUUGCAAAACAAAAAUUACUAGACAUCAUUAACUAAAGUACCAGCACAACAAUGAAUGUGUAACCUCCGCAAGAGCAAACCCGAAUGGAGAAGAACAUGAAGAAAUAUAUAAAUAGAAGAAACAUAAAAGACAAACAUGAAACACAUGGAAACAUACAAAGGGGAUAAAUAAAAGUACAAUUAUGAAGUGAUGAAGCACAAAUACAGGUACCAACAGAACUAGAAUACAAGUCUUACCCUAUCUCGACUGUCGAGGAGUGUUAACCAACCGUCAGAAGGUUGGUUUUAUUUUUUAGAAAAAAUUAAUGUUGUCUGAAUUCUUUUUCAAGCCACUAACCAGCCCCUCCUUAUCUAUGAUCGGCGAUCAACUCCUCAACCUCUAAUUACAUUUAAAAGAGUGAUGCGAACAUUGUGUGAAAUCCCAAACCUUUGAUGGAUCCCACCAUCACUCUCUUUCUAUCCCCUUCAAAACCUCAUUAUUUUCAAGAGAGGCCUCAAAGCUUCUUCCAAUUAACAUAAAAGAAGAAUGAAAGAGAAGGAGAGAAAGGGAAAGUGGUUCAAAAGCUAUGGAAAAAAAAGUAAAAGAACAUGGUCUACUCAUUGGCACAUCUUACACAGAUGAUAAUGUUAGGGCAAGGCAAUGAGAGACAGAAUGCUUUUGGAGCCUUCUCCUCUACUUUCGAAGAUUUUAAUAAACUAAAAUAUGCAAAUGUUACAAGAAAGAUCUUUGGAGAUUUGAAAUAAUCCAAAAUAAAGAAAAAGGAAAACCCCAAUAUGUACAAAUUUCAGAAUCUAAAACUUGAAAAGUGAUUGAAUGAUGAGAUAUGUUUGUACAAUCAAUUAUAGAGACAGUGAAAUAUUAAAAAAAAAUGAAACGUACCAAGAUAAAAAGAAUAGCAACUAGUAUUAUGACCUUUGUAUGUCUUCAAAAUACAAACAUCAAAAUGAAUCAAGAGAUCUACCACACAAAUAAUGGUAUCAACACAAAUAAAGCAAUUGUUUUAUUGAAAAUAUUUGAGUACAAUUAAACUAAGCAUGCUAUUGUCCUUGACAAAUUUACAUUCUUCUAAUCGAACAAAAUCUGACCUUUAAAUAGUGAUAGAAACUGAAGAUGAAAGCAAGUUCAGCUACAACUUCAGACCGUGAUAUAUAUGGCAGAACCUAUAAAAAAAAGAAGAAUACCUAACUAUAUAUACACAGAGGAGAUCUGACGCUUACUAGCACAUCGGAGGCUCAAUCGAUUUAUAUUUAAUUGAAAGACAAUACCUAUAUUUUAAUGCAUACACAUUGAAUAGCCCCUGUUUCAAUCCAAUUUACAAAACUACCUCCAUAAAAUUACAUAAUGGGGGAAGUUCGACCGGAUGCACUGUGCUUUACCAGAACCACAUGAAAUUAUUAGAACAUAGUUCAUUCAAGUAACUUUCUAUUCAAUAAUUGAAACAAAUGGAAAGAGGACAAUUGAAUAUUAAAUAAAGAUGGAAUUAAUUGGGAACUCACGGAGUAAUGCGAUUCGUUCGGGGCUCACCGCUGGAGUUGAAAGAGAGACAAGGAUUAGAAAGGAAAGGAAGAGGAGCGUCUGAUAAUCCAGCGGAUUCUUUGAUGAGUGGAGUAGUAGUAGUAGUAGUGGAGGUUCCAAGGACAUUGAAGUCAAUCCGGUGAGAGUGACGGAAUCCAGAAGGUUGAGGUUGAAGAGAGUAGAAAUUGCAACCAAAAUCGGUGAGGAUAGUGGAUUCGAAAUUGCGAGGGAAGAAGAAAAGAGCAUCACAAGUCGAAGUAGAGGAGGAAUCAACACUGGUUAAACUGGUUUUGGUUGUACGAACAAAGAAGAAUUAGGGUUUGAGAAGAGAAAGGGAAAAUGGAGUGUACGAACAAAGAAGAAGAAGAAGAAAUGGAAAGGACGCGCUAAGAGAAGAAGAUGGAGAGUGAUGGGUGAAAUGGGUAUGAUAGGGUUUCGAAAAUGGAGUGUACGAAGAAAUGGAAAGGACGCACUGAGAGAAGAAGAUGGAGAUUGGAUCCGCGACUGAGAGAAGAAGAUGGAGAUUGGAUCCGCGACUGAGAGAAGAAGAUGGAGAUUGGAUCCGCGACUAAGAGAAGAAGAUGGAGAUUGGAUGCGCGACUAAGAGAAGAAGAUGGGGAUUGGAUCCGCGACUAAGAGAAGAAGAUGGAGAUGGAUCCGCAAAAUGGGUAUGAUAGGGUUUCUUCCUUACAGAAACGGAAAUUGAGAGAUAGGCCAAAGAAGACAAGAGAGCAAGAGAGAAGGGGGGAGGAGAGGGAGACUUGGCGGUUAGAGAAGAGGGGAAAGAAAUUUGAAAUGAGAGAGACUCUACAUGUAGGGUUUUUAUUAUAAUUUUUUUUUUUUUUGAAAUUUUGCUUAAUUGGAUCUAGAGAAUUUUGCGUAUCCGGUUCACCGACUCAUAUUAGCCGUCCAUUCGUCCAUUGUUUUGUCAUUUUUUUUCAACAAACUAAAUGUUUUAAGCCAUUUGCAAAUUAGAUUUUGAUAAAUCGAUAAUCAUAUUUUUUUACAAUAUAGGACUAAAAAAACUAAUUUAAUAUAUAUAUAUAUAUAUAUAUAUAUAUAUAUAUAUAUACAUAGAACAGUAUUUAGUUAAAUUACAAAAAAAAAGAAAAAUUCUUUUGAAUUUUGUAGUUUGUGUAAAAAAUUAACCUUAAACUUUGAAAAGUUAAAAAAAAAUUGUUUUGAACUUUUAAAAAUUAUUCAUAAAUACAUCUACAUACGUAAGAUGAAGGUAUUGGCAUGCUUCUCUAAAAAAAACUUUCCAAAAAGAUGUCGUGUGACUUUUGAAAAGAAAAAUUACAAACGCGGUCGUUUUUAAACAAACUAGAUAUAUCAAGUUUUUUUUUUUUUUUUUUUUUGAGGUGAGGGAAUCAACCUUUCUUCUUCUUUUUAAUCCCUUUUACUUUUAGUUUAUUUCUUUAUUUUUUUUCCUUUUUUCACAAUUUUGUCAUAUUCGUAAUAUGCACAAAAUAUGUGUCAUGAACUUUUUUUUUUUUUUUUUUGUCAUUUGAUGCAAUUAGUCUUUUUCUUUUAAUGUUUUAAUUUCUUUAUAUUAUUCGUACUUCUCAACCAAAUUUAUUUUAAUUUUAAAAAUCCUAAUUUUAGAACUAGAGUCAGUUUCGAAUACAUCAUUUAAAAAUGAGUCAUUUUGACAAAGUUAGACUUAAACAUGCUAAGUAAGCUAUUCACCACCCCCACUUAAAAGCUAAGCACAUAUUCAUCAAUUAUAUCACAAAUAUAUCCACAAACCCGAACUCAAUGCUCAAGGGUUGACAAUCACGCUUUUUAUACAAGAUCUAAGUAAGCUAAGAAGCUAUAAUGCUCAUUAUUUUAAGAAAAAAAAUUUUAAAAGUUUUUAAAUUUGGGCAAAAUUUGAAAUCCCCUCAAGUUUAGAUUAAACGUGCAAGCUAAGUAAGCUAUUACCCCCACUUAAAAACAUGUUUUGUCCUCAAAACUUUUGAAAAUCAAAGUAAAGGAAAGAAAAGUAAGGGGGAACAUUGGACUCCCCUAGAAGGAUUAACAUCCUUGACUUUGGUUUGAAGUUUGCAUGGAUAAGGCUCUCCAUUCCUUUUUCAGUGAUUUGUAUUAAUAAAAUGAAUUUGUAUAUAUAUAUGAAUGAACACAAGUUUUCCUUAUUUGAACCCAAGUGCAAAUCCAAAUAAGGUUUCUUGGUGAGUCUAGAGUCGAACGUGAGGACUUAUACUAAAAAUAUAUUUGUAUUUUAAAAUGAUCUUAAGGUGAUUAAUAACAUACGCAACUUCAUCCACCUGCAAGGGGGGAGGGGAGUCAUCCACUAUAGAUAAGCUCCACUUGUCUCCCUCACCCAACUUCAUAAGGCUGCCAAAAGAGUUAGGCAUAAUCACAUCCACAUGUUUACCCUUCUUUCGAACAUAAACCAACUCUCUUUUCUUCCUAAUAACGAGUAAUUUCAUCUCGAUUACCUACCUUCUUUUCCUUAAUAUGCCUAAUGGGGGAGCUAUUAGUCUUACUUUCCUCCAACUGUUUAAAGUCUAACACCACAUUCAUAAGACACAAUUGUCAGUUCCUCCUCUUUGUUUGAAACCACCUUGCUCACAUCCUCCUCUUGAUGAACUUUGUUUUCCACAAUCUUAGGACACUUACCACUAGAAUGCCCAAAAGACCGGCAUAAAUUACACUUUCGAGGCUUCCACUCGUAAUUCACAGUCAUAACGAAAUCCUCUCCCCUAAGUUGAAUUGUAAAUUCAGCAGCCAUAGGAGAGUCCACAUUUGAUUCAACACAUACUCAAGCAUGUGACAACCUUCUCUUAUCGAAUUUUAUGUUGUUGUUGAAUUUAAAGAAAUCAAAUGAUUAUAAAUCAACUUUUAAAAAAUUAAAAAUUUGUUUCUAGACAUCCAUAUUCUUACCGAUUAAAAUUCAACUUACAUAUUCUCUUUUUUACUUAAUAUCUAAAAUUUACAUAUACUUUAAAAUUUAUUUCUUGUCUUUUCAUUUUUUUUCUCAUAUUUCAUUUUUCAAGAUUUAAAUAGUUUUUUUGUUUUAUCUGUACUUUUUUGAUAGGUUAUGAGUUAUGAGUUAUGAGCUUAUAGUUUAGCAUUGUUAGGUCGUUUUGAAAAUUCAAGUGAUACUCCAAGGUUAUUCUUGGAAUAUUCUUUUACAUUAUAUUUGUUAAAUCACUAUUUAAUUUAUUAAGAGCUUGAUAAAUAACCACUAAACUAAAACCAUAGAGGAUAAUUGAUAGACCACUAGUACAUGUUCUAUCACUAACUAACAGACGGUAAAACUUUGUUAUAUUUGUGAAUAUCUUCAGCAAUUUUAUCAUUUAAGACAAUUUUUCGUAUAAUAUCGACAUGAACAUCGUAAGAAAACUCAAAUUAAGUAAGUUAAAUUAAAAAAAAAUUGUAUGAAUGUUUCGAGAACCAUUAAUUAUAAAUUCAACAUUUUUGAAUGAAAAAUUGGAUUGGUUUGUGGUGACGGCUAACAUGCAUGUCUAACAAUUAUUUUCAAUUUCUAAUACUUUCAUCCAUUGCCAAAGUUGGAAACUAAUGUUUUUAUCUUAUUAAAUGAAAUUUCACAUUUCUUGAAAAUUUUGGAUUAUAAUUAUUUGAAAAACAAAAAUAUAUAUUUUUUGCUUUAUCGUUACUGAAAAUUUUAUCUCGUAAAAUUUGAUUUUUUUAGUCUAAAUUUUAAAAACAAAAUAUUUGUUUUAGUUAUAAAGAAAUUGUUUUGGGUUUUAAAUGGGUUUUAUCACAAAUAAUUCAAAUAUAUUUUAAUCCCUCAUCUCCCCUUCUCUCUCACUCACGUUUCAAAUUUCUUCCCCUACUUCUUCUCUAACGGCUCUCUCUCUCUCUCUACUUUCUCGUCCUCUCCCUUCUCUUAUCUUCUUCGUCUUCCUCAAAAUCGCCCUAACAGCGUCGGAUUUCUCAACUGUCGAUCGAGUGACAAUCAUGCCUGCCUGCUUGACAAAGCCUUUUCGGUCUACCAAUAAAGGAAAAACGAUUGCUGGUGACACGAAAGCUGUGCUCAACGCUCUUUUUCCUAUUCCACUGCGCGUCGUGGUCUUUCCCUUGCUGGUUGGAUGACUACUAUGGACGAAGAGCACAACUACUUCCAGUCUCUGAUCGAUAAGUACCCAAGGAAGGUAAAUUCCAGCGGAGAAAGUCGAGAGCUCCUUAGUUGAUCACAAAUCCUUCCAAAUUCUUUGUUCGUAGACUAAUUUGAAAUCCUUCCAAAUUCUUUGUUCGUAGACUAAUUUGAAAUCCUUCCAAAUUCUUUGUUCGUAGACUAAUUUGAAAUCCUUCCAAUAUGGAUCCAUGCUGUCUUUUAUAUCCAUAAGAUACCAAUUAGAUUGUGUUAAUUAUUGUUUAUAAGAAAAUAUUUGUGUGCAGAGUUGCAGUGGGUAAAUCUUAAUGGCUGGCAGAAAAUUGGUUCGGGAUAUAUUACUCUCAACACAAAGUAUUUUUUAUCAGUUUACUUCCCAUCGGGUAUUUGCUCUUCCUAUGCUUUAUCCUUAUCCCAUCUUUCUCCGCUCUAGUCUUCAUAGGAUGGAUUUCUGUGGUGUAAAUUUAUUCAUCUACUUUGUUUGAUUUAUGGUUGCAUUUAGGGAGAAGGUAAAUUACAUAAGCCAAAGUAGUUAUGGAAAACAUCUCCAAUUUACAGCAAGUUAAAGAAAAAAAAGAAAGAGAAAAACAGCAGUUCAAAAAAACUGGGCAUCUUGCUUCUUUCUUAUUGAAAGUUCUGCCGUUCCUUUCAAGUCAAAUUGACCACAAAAUGCUCAAAUGAGAUUCUUCAAU
This 57392-nucleotide long non-coding RNA is filed under the name Cucumis sativus (cucumber). RNAcentral describes it as "long non-coding RNA (CSAT_LNC003016)". Lineage: Eukaryota; Viridiplantae; Streptophyta; Magnoliopsida; Cucurbitales; Cucurbitaceae. The record is from RNAcentral.